UGGGAGAAGAUUGGAGCAGCCUAAACUUUGAAAACAGAAAAUUAAUUGUUGUAUAAUUGCUGCCGUGUUUUAGGUCAAUGGAAGGUUCAACCACUUCAUUUAUUUCUGGAAACAGACUCCAUACAUAUAUACAUAUAGCUAUCGGCAUCACCAACACUUCACCUUCCAUGUCCUUUCCUCUUGAUGAAGCAUCACUGUUCAGCCAUCUCCAUCCUCCUCACAAAAGCUUUCCACCUGUAAAUUUAUUACAAAUCCUGCACAAACUGCCGGACUGCAGACCAAACCAUUGUCCUAUAUUUUUUGGAUGCAAACAAGAACAAAAAGUGCACAUCUCCCUCUUGGGAAGGAGCUCUCUGUAACUCUUUGUUUUUUCCUUUUUCUUUUCUUUUUUUAAGAACAAUGCUGCUUUCUGCAAUUCCCUCAAGCUAAUUUCACAUUACAAAAUGGUACAAACAGAAGAGGGGAAAAAUUCUAUAACAAGCCACGAAAAAUUAGGGAUGAAAUUAAGCAUGUUUUUUAUAAUUAGCUCAAAAGCAUACAGAACUUAAUUAAAAUUCUAUAAACUAAGUGGGAAAGAAAUACCAUGCUAGAAGUCCUCUAAAACAAAAUAAUUCAGUGGUAAGAUUUGAGUACAGCUCCACAGAAAGUACACAUGAUAGCUCUCCAAGAUUUCCAGUAAAAUGGCACAUAGCAAAAUCUUGUACAAGUUUUCAUAUCAGCUACACUUGCUCCACCACCACACCUUGAACAAAUCCCGGCCGCCGGCUUGCUUCUUCUCACCUUCCGGGUCUGAUCAACAAGAAAACAAAAGCAAACCAUGGUGUUCUAGUUUGUUAUUCUUGCGCUUCAGUGUUUUUUGAUUUUGGGACUUGAGAGGGCGAUGUGGUUUGGCAAACACAGAAAUAUCAGAUAGACAAGCGCAUUUAUAUAUGCAUGAGCGGUGUUAAGGAUCGAGCAACUUCAGUGGUCUUUCACCGUUAGAUACACAGACAUUUGAUAUUUGUUUUGUAAGAAUUUUCGAAUCUGCUUUUGAAUAAUAAAAUUGAAGCCAUUAACAAUUAUUUUUAUUAUUAUUAGUUGUCUACUCCCUUUUAAUAUACAGUGUAAUUAAACUUAGUUUAUGCUAUCGGUUGAGUUUGCAUUUAUUAUAGGGUAUAACCUUGCAUUUAUUAUUUUCAUGCUUCUGCUAUUGCUCUUUUUUUUUUUUUAGUGAUGCCCCAUCACUAAAAAUAUGAACAACAUGUAACAUAAAUACACUCUUAGUUGAUUUGCCAGCUCAAUGACUUAUUAACCUGAUUUUUAGUUUAUAUACAUUUUAAAUUAAAUUAGAUGAGAGUUAAUUUGGUAUAAGUUAACAAAUUGAUUCAUGAUUAAGUUAAAAUUUAUUUUGACUUGGUUUUUUUAAACAUGCAUUUAAUUUUCUUAAAAAAAAUCUAGAAAUAAUGACAAUUUAUAAUUUAAUUUGCAUUAAGCCAUCCAACUUGUCACCCUGGGGCCUUGAAUAAUUUAUAAUUUAUAAUUUAUAAUUUUAAAAAUAUUAUUUUAUUAUUCCUUAUACAUGCUUAACAAGUGGGGCCUUGAAUAAUUUUCAUUUUGUAUUUAGAAUUUUUUAUUAAGUGAGUAAUUUUUAUUUUAUAAAAUAUAAUUAAUAAAUAUAUUUUACUUAUUUUUAAGAUCUUUUUGUCAAGUUAAGGUAUUGAAUCAUUGCUUAAGUUGCCUAUAUACUCGUCGACUAUGUGAGUCAAGGCUGGGUUUAAUCUUGCUAUUAUAUUUAUAAAAAAAUUCUUUUUGGCAGCAUUUAUUUUGAAUCUAUUGGAUAAUAUAAUACAAACAACAAAUCCACGCUGGGCUAAACAUUAAAAAAGUGAUUGAUUACAAAUUUAUGAGGGGGGAGAGUCGUUCGUACGUUGUUUAGCCAUCCAUUAAUGGAGGUGGUGGUCUACUGCCUUUAUCGUUGAAGGAGUUCUUUUCUGGGUUAGUUCCACAUGUAAAAUAAUUUUUAAUUAUUUUUUAUAUUUAGGAAACUACUAAAUUGCCCCUAAAUUGAUUUAAUAAAAAUAAAAUUAUGAAAAGAUAAAAAAGCUCUUUGACUCCGGUUUUAAAAUUUUUACUUUGAAGAGUAUUUUGUUCGUUUUUCUGUGCUCCUUGACCUUUUAUUGUUUUUUAUAUUUAACUAAUUUUUUUCUAAGCUGACAUCAUAACGAAAAAACCAUUGUAAGAAUGCAAAAACACCCUUUGACACUUUUUUAAUUUUUUUUUAAUUUCAAUGAUAUUUUAAUUGUUCUGUUAUAUAAUUGAGAUGAGAAAAUAUAUAAUUAUUUAACUCCGGUAAAUUUGAUAAUGACUAAUGGUAAACUCUUGCAUUUUAAAUUAACUUGAAAUCCAACCCCCAAUGUAUUAUAAUAUUAUUAAGCGAACAAUAGCGGUAACAAUCAAUUUAUUAUUACAUGAAAGAGUCGCGUUGUAAAGUAAUGCACUCGGUCCGAUAAUUACCAUAAAACCGAACGCAAAAUUUCAAAAUAUUGUCCAUCUAUUUUGCUCUCCAUGUAUUUUGCAGCAUCCAAUUGGCUUUAUCCCAACUAGUAUAGAUCCCAUCUUCCUUCAUCAACGAAUACACAGUUCCAUGAUUCUCAUCUUUAGGUACUUCAAACCCAUACCACGAUGAAAAAUAUUGUUUCCAUUCAGUUGCGCAGUAAUAUGUAUCCUUUUCCACAACUUUCCAUUGGUAGACUUCACCCACAGAAAGUGAGUGCAUACCCAAGGUGAUAUUAUUGGAAGCACAGUAGAAUCGCACUGGUUCCGAGUUUGCUGGCAAAGAAUUGAUGAUUUCAAUAGUUGGUAGAUUUUGAUUGGCCUGAUCUUGAAUUGAUCUUGCACUCAAAACACAAAGUGCAAAAUUAAAGAAGAGAAGAAAGUGGAUCCAUGUGGCCAUGCUCCUAAGAAAAAAAAGAGUUUCUUUUGAACUUGUGAAGUAUUAUUUAUCAAAAUACACGCAGUAGAUAUCUUCUUUAGAGAGAGUAUAUAUAACGUAGAAAAAACUUCAAGUAUAGAAAGUCAUUUAAAUUCUCGUAUUACCAUAUCCAUUCUUAAUUUUCUUAGUAAUUGAAUUUUCAACUAAUAGUAGUAAAUCUAGCUCAAUCAAUCCUAAAAAAGAAUUCCACAAUUGAAUUCGUAGGAUAUAUUUAAAAGAUACGGGAUUCUCAUUAAAUGCAUAAGAUUUUUUUAAAAGUCAUUUCAAGAAGAACGUCCUAUGGGAUUAGUAUCCUUAUAAAAUUGACAUUUCUUAGAAGAUAUGGGAUUAUUAUGGGAUUUGCAUCCUUAAAAGAUAUAGGAUUAGUAUGGGAUUAAAGAAAUGGGAUUAGUAUCCUCUCAUGCUAGUCCCAUUUCUUAUAAAAUUGACAUUCCUUAAAAGAUACGGGAUUAGCAUGGGAUUAAUAUCCUUCAAAGAUACGGGAUACGGGAUUAGUAUCCCAUACCUUAAAAGAUAUGGGAUUAGUAUCCUCUCAUAUCUCCUUCCAUAUGAUGAUCAAUUUCUUUAAAUGUAAUCCUUCUAAGAAAUUGGAUGGCUAAUGUAAAUAUUAAAUGUUAUUUUCUUAAUUACUUGCUAAUUCAAGAUCCUCAUUUCAUGAGGGAUUGGAUUCACCUGUACGCUGAACCCAAGAGGAGUUGGUGAGGAUAAUUCUUUUUUUAAAUAAUUAUUGGGUGUGGCCCGUGUGGCUCUGCAACCGGACCCAAGGAUUGGGCAAGGAGAUUGGGUCUCGCUGCGCGACCUUUUUUCUUUUAAGAUAUUUUUAAUUUUAUACCUUUUCCUCUUCAAAUUUUUUUCUUUUCUCUUAUUUAAUUUUUUUUUGGCGCGCAAAUUCCGUCUGUAAAAUCGUCGGUAAAUGGUUUUUUUGUUUUGCCGACCGAUAUAGCGACGGAAUGGGGAAUCACCGAUGAAAGGUAAGCCGACGGACGUAUUCCGUCGGUAAUGUAGUCGGUAAAAAUUUUACCGACGUACUAUCAAUCACAGACCGACGGAAUAUUUCCGUCGGUAAAACUGUGAAUUCUUGUUAUGUAAUUUGGUAUAAGUUAACAAAUUGAUUCAUGAUUAAGUUAAAAUUUAUUUUGACUUGGUUUUUUUAAACAUGCUUUUCAUUUUCUUAAAAAAAAAUCUAGAUAUAAUGACAAUUUAUAAUUUAAUUUGCAUUAAGCCAUCCAACUUGUCACCCUGGCCUUUAAUUGGGUCAAUUAUGCAAUAAAGCCGGCUUAAGGUGAAUAGAAAUUUUAGGCAAAAUUAUAAAUAAGAUAUUCUAAAAUAUUUUAAAAAUAUUAUUUUAUUAUUCCUUAUACAUGCUUAACAAGUGGGGCCUUGAAUAAUUUUCAUUUUGUAUUUAGAAUUUUUUAUUAAGUGAGUAAUUUUUAUUUUAUAAAAUAUAAUUAAUAAAUAUAUUUUACUUAUUUUUAAGAUCUUUUUGUCAAGUUAAGGUAUUGAAUCAUUGCUUAAGUUGCCUAUAUACUCGUCGACUAUGUGAGUCAAGGCUGGGUUUAAUCUUGCUAUUAUAUUUAUAAAAAAAUUCUUUUUGGCAGCAUUUAUUUUGAAUCUAUUGGAUAAUAUAAUACAAACAACAAAUCCACGCUGGGCUAAACAUUAAAAAAGUGAUUGAUUACAAAUUUAUGAGGGGGGAGAGUCGUUCGUACGUUGUUUAGCCAUCCAUUAAUGGAGGUGGUGGUCUACUGCCUUUAUCGUUGAAGGAGUUCUUUUCUGGGUUAGUUCCACAUGUAAAAUAAUUUUUAAUUAUUUUUUAUAUUUAGGAAACUACUAAAUUGCCCCUAAAUUGAUUUAAUAAAAAUAAAAUUAUGAAAAGAUAAAAAAGCUCUUUGACUCCGGUUUUAAAAUUUUUACUUUGAAGAGUAUUUUGUUCGUUUUUCUGUGCUCCUUGACCUUUUAUUGUUUUUUAUAUUUAACUAAUUUUUUUCUAAGCUGACAUCAUAACGAAAAAACCAUUGUAAGAAUGCAAAAACACCCUUUGACACUUUUUUAAUUUUUUUUUAAUUUCAAUGAUAUUUUAAUUGUUCUGUUAUAUAAUUGAGAUGAGAAAAUAUAUAAUUAUUUAACUCCGGUAAAUUUGAUAAUGACUAAUGGUAAACUCUUGCAUUUUAAAUUAACUUGAAAUCCAACCCCCAAUGUAUUAUAAUAUUAUUAAGCGAACAAUAGCGGUAACAAUCAAUUUAUUAUUACAUGAAAGAGUCGCGUUGUAAAGUAAUGCACUCGGUCCGAUAAUUACCAUAAAACCGAACGCAAAAUUUCAAAAUAUUGUCCAUCUAUUUUGCUCUCCAUGUAUUUUGCAGCAUCCAAUUGGCUUUAUCCCAACUAGUAUAGAUCCCAUCUUCCUUCAUCAACGAAUACACAGUUCCAUGAUUCUCAUCUUUAGGUACUUCAAACCCAUACCACGAUGAAAAAUAUUGUUUCCAUUCAGUUGCGCAGUAAUAUGUAUCCUUUUCCACAACUUUCCAUUGGUAGACUUCACCCACAGAAAGUGAGUGCAUACCCAAGGUGAUAUUAUUGGAAGCACAGUAGAAUUGCACUGGUUCCGAGUUUGCUGGCAAAGAAUUGAUGAUUUCAAUAGUUGGUAGAUUUUGAUUGGCCUGAUCUUGAAUUGAUCUUGCACUCAAAACACAAAGUGCAAAAUUAAAGAAGAGAAGAAAGUGGAUCCAUGUGGCCAUGCUCCUAAGAAAAAAAAGAGUUUCUUUUGAACUUGUGAAGUAUUAUUUAUCAAAAUACACGCAGUAGAUAUCUUCUUUAGAGAGAGUAUAUAUAACGUAGAAAAAACUUCAAGUAUAGAAAGUCAUUUAAAUUCUCGUAUUACCAUAUCCAUUCUUAAUUUUCUUAGUAAUUGAAUUUUCAACUAAUAGUAGUAAAUCUAGCUCAAUCAAUCCUAAAAAAGAAUUCCACAAUUGAAUUCGUAGGAUAUAUUUAAAAGAUACGGGAUUCUCAUUAAAUGCAUAAGAUUUUUUUAAAAGUCAUUUCAAGAAGAACGUCCUAUAAAAUUGACAUUCAUUGUAUCUAUAUUAAUGGAGGUCUAGUAUUCUACAUCAAUUAUCAUUCCUUAAAAGAUAUGGAAUUAGCAUGUUAGGAUACCGGCAUGCAAACCCGACAAGACAAAAAACAAAGGAUAUAAUAAAAUAAGAAAUGACACACAAGAAUUUAUAUGGUUCAUCCAAUUUAACUAUGUCCACGGAUAAGUAGAAGGAUUUAUUAAGUAAUAUGAGAAUUACAACCUCUCUCUACUAAUAGAAAAACAAUUAAAACCUUUCUAUUAAUAGGAGAAAAUACCUCACUUACUCUCUCACAUAUUCCUCACAAUUUUAUAGGAUCACUUUCCCUCUCUUACUCUCCUUUUCUUUCUUUCUUGUGGUGCAUCUUUGGGCGUGGAUGCAUUAUUUAUUUAUUAGCAAGCAUCCACGUAAAAGACAAGAGAUACAUAUUGAUGCCCAACAUUGUUGACUUUGACGGUACCAAUUGCUACCUAGCUGGCUUCACAUAGUAUCCUUAAAAGAUAAGGGAUUAGUAGAGGACUAGUAUCCUUAUAAAAUUGACAUUCCUUAAAAGAUAUGGGAUUAUUAUGAGAUUAAUGUCCUUAAAAGAUAUGGGAUUACCAUGGGAUUAAAAAAAUGGGAUUAGUAUCCUCUCAUAUUAUAAAAUUGACAUUCCUUAAAAGAUACAGGAUUAGCAUGGAAUUAAUAUCCUUAAAAGAUAUGGGAUUAUCAUGGGAUUAAAGAAAUGAGAUUAGUAUGGGACUAGUAUCCUCUCAUAUGAUGAUCAAUUUCUUUAAAUGUAACCCUUCUAAGAAAUUAGAUGGCUAACUUAAAUAUUAAACGAUAGUUUCUUAAUUAUAUGCUAAUUCGAGAUUCUCAUUUCAAGAGGAAUUGGGUUCAACUGUACAUUGAACCCAAUAGGACUUGGUGAUGAUAAUUGUUUUUUAAAUAAUUAAAAAAUAAAUUUCAAGAGGAAUUGGGUUCAACUCUACAGCCAGACCCAAGGAUUGGGUAAGAAGAUUGGGUCUCACUGUGCAACCUUUUUCCUUUUUAAAUUUAAAUUUUUUUUUCUUUUUUCUUAUUUAAUUUUUUUUCAUACCGUAAAAAUAAUAAAAUUGAUGGGACUUUUUUUAUAUUGCAUAAAAGUUGGGCGAUGAUAAUUUUUUUUAUUUGAAGUUGGGUUGAAUUUUCUUAUUAAAACAUGUUUGUUUUUGCAUUUCUAAAAGGCUUUAAAAAAAUCUAAUUUUUAUUUUAUUUUUUUCUUUACUUGAAAUUAACAUAUAUAUAUAUUUUUUGAAUAGCUACGAUUUUCAGACACUGAUAUGCCCAGAAUUAUGUUUAUACGUAUAUAUAUGCAUUAAAAAUGUGCAAUGUACAAGAAUAUUUGAAGCUCCUCUGCAGCCCACACAAAAGUUCUUUCAUCUUUCCUCAUGCAGCAGAACUACUUAGCAGCGGCGCAGGAAAGAGCCCUCCGAACCAGAGGGGAUCUUCGUUGCAGAGGGGCCAGCUCCCAAGCCUGCAACAUUGACACACCUUUACUCACAAAUGCAGCGAUCGAGUCAGCAUAGAAUAUGGUGUGCUUUCAAAUUAAUAUUUUUUGAUAUUUUUGUAUUAUUUUUUAAAAUAUUUUGAAUCAAUAUGUUGGAGAAGAGAUAGUGGCAUUUGAAAUAUGAAUAUUCUUUAAUUUUAUUUUAAUUUUUUGUAUUUGCUGUAUUGUUUUUUUAUUUGAAUACUUGAAUUCGUAUAAAAUCUGAUUAAUUAACUAUUUUCGUUAGUUUUGUUAUCAAAAUAUUGAUGUGAUAGUUAACUCUUUGAUAUAUCUGAUAUCUAAGGAAUUUAUGAACAUCACUGUGUGUCGCACCCGAUAUCGCGGCGGUUUUAAAAAAUUAAUUCUUGAAUUAUGGAAAAAGAACAGAUUUCUGACAUCUUGUUCUUUUAGGGGAAAAUGUCUUGUUUAAGGAGUCGCCACCUAUUAUUAUGGUCACUAGGAAUCCUAAUUGGUCAACAUAGAUUCUAUGGUUCGGGACUGGUUACGUAAAGGGGAAGAUAUUAUCACCCUUUAAACGUUUUGCCUGAGGCAGACUGCAUUGCUGGUUUUGUUUUAUAUUGCUAAAUGUUUAUUAUUAUUUUUUUAUGAAAAUUUGCUUAUAAUAUUCCUGACUCUGGCGCCAGUGAAUAUUUAACUACGAAUAUUUCCAACUCUGGCGUUGAUAAAUAUUACGUAGCUAUAAAAAAAAUAAAUUUAAAUCAAUAUAUAUUUUUUUAUUCCCGACUCUGGCGCCAGUGAAUAAAUAAAUAAUAAUAAAUUUAUUUUUUUAAAUGCACAUAUUUCUUAUUUUUUUUCUAGCCAAAUAAAAUUGAAUAAACGAAUAAAAAUAAUAUAAAUUUAAAACAAUAUUUUUAUUCCCGACUCUGGCGUCAAUGAAUAAACCAAUAAAUUUACAUUAUUUUUAUUCAAACAUACACAUUUUUUUAUUUUUUUAUAAAAUAAAAAUACAACAAAUAAAAAUAAUAUAAAUUUAAAACAAUAUUUUUAUUCCCGACUCUGGCGUCAGUGAAUAAACCAAUAAAUUUAUAUUAUUUUUAUUCAUCCAUACACAUUCUUUAUCUUUUUAUUUUUUCUACCUUUUUUAUUUUUCUGUUUUUUAUUUUUCUAUUUUAAAAAAAAUAAAUUUAAAUCAAUAUAUUUUUUUUUAUUCCCGACUCUGGCGCCAGUGAAUAAAUAAAUAAUAAUAAAUUUAUUUUUUUAAAUGCACAUAUUUCUUAUUUUUUUCUAGCCAAAUAAAAUUGAAUAAACGAAUAAAAAUAAUAUAAAUUUAAAACGGUAUUUUUAUUCCUGACUCUGACGUCAGUGAAUAAACCAAUAAAUUUACAUUAUUUUUAUUCAUGCAUACACAUUUUUUAUCUUUUUAUUUCUUUUUAUUUUUUCUAUCUUUUUUAUUUUUUUGUUUUUUAUUUUUUUAUUUUUCUAUUUUUUUGAGGCUGGGAUGACUCGGUUGGGUCACUGGUCUAGACCAGUGACCCGGCUGGGUGGCAGGCGUGCGUUUCGCCCGCCUGCCUAAUGAAUUAAAAUUCACUUGCUGCAGUAGAAACUGCUACUGUAGCAGUGAAUUAAAAUGCAAAGGGAGCGGCGCUUACCUCAGUGCAGGAGACGAAAGGGACGAAGACGAUGGUGAUGGCGAAGGCGCGCUGGCUGGACAAUAACCUUCUGUUUCCCUUUUCGUUUUCUUUCUUUCUGGUCGUUCUUUGUUUCUCUGUUCUUCCUGGGGAACGAACCCGGAAUCUCUGGUUCUGUCCCUCCCCGGUUUUCCUUUGGUUUUAGUCUCUCUCCCUGCCGUGCAUGGCUUUCUCCUUUCUGUUUUCCUCUUGUUUCAGUGACGAUGAAGGUCACGGCUUGCUGCUUGGGUUCUUCCUUCUCUGGUUUGCAGAGGGGCGAUUGAGGACACGGUGAUAUCAAUGUUGAUUUUCUGGGUUUAUUGCUAGUAUUGGUCUCUGUUUUUGUUGCUCUGUGUACUUUCUUUCUCUCUGUUUUGCUGGGUUUCUUCCCUCUGUCUUGCUCUGUCUUCUGCGUCCCUCCUGUUUUCUUCUCUGGUUCUUGGCCUUCCUUCAGUUUGUUCGAUUCUUUUCUAGCUGGUUUCCUCUGCUUUUAUUUUUAUCAGUCUUUUUCCGUCCUCUUGUUCUGCUUCCUUUCUCUCUUUUUAUCGAGCCCCUGCAUGCAGAAACCAGUUCCCCUGUUAAUGGGAUCGUGGGCAAGAGAUCGUGGCCUUGAAUUGCCGGAUUUGUUUCCUGUUGAAUCGGUCUGGUCCGUGCGAAACGGAAGGGACGGUGAACAGUGAGAUCAAAACGGCGUCAUCUUGUAUGGAAAAAAAUGACAGAUUAUGAAUUGGUCCCUUUUGUUUGAAAUGUAUCAAUUGGGCCCCUUAAUCAAUAAAUUUUUAAUUUUACCCUUGGAUUAUUUUCAAUUAAGUCCCUGAAUUUAUUUAAUUAAUUAAAUCAAAGUUUAAUUAAGUUCACAAACUUAUUAAUUCUUUUAAUUUCAUUAAUUAAACUAAUCCAUAUUUUAACUAAAUUUUCAAACUUAUUAAUUUUUCAAUUUCUGAUAAAUUUACUCUCAAAUUUGAUAAUUUCAUCCAUGAAUUUUGAAUUUGUGUUGUUUUAACUCCAUUCUCAAAUAUAUUUUUAUCCAUUCAUUUUGUAUUAUUUGUUCAAAAAUUAGGUUAUGACACUGUGUAUGCAGUAGAUAAUCUAGAAGUCCCUGCUGUUCAUGAUUAUUUUCAUCUGUGGCUUUUUCACCUAUGGUUUUGUUAAUCUUUUACUGUAGUUUUCCGGAGUGAACUGCAAACAUAUCAAGAUGAGUCCCUAACGCGACGGUUUGCUGUUUGCGGAAGAUUGUAGCUUUCCUGGGUGGAAAUGAUGUUCAAAUCACCAAUUUUACUGGAAAGGAACCUGACAUGAAUUUUAUAGGAUUUAGUAUGAAUUUUAUAACUUAAAGACUUUGUAGGAGAUGAUAUAAAGACUUCAAAUCACCAAUUUUACCGAAAAGAUUUGAUAUUAAAGAUGAUUUAAAAAAAUCAAUUAUUUUUUUUUAAUUCAAAUUAAUAUGUUUUGAUGUUUUUGUAUUAUUUUUGAUGUGAUGAUAAAACAAAUCAAUUUAAAUUUUUUUAAAAAAUAUUAUCUAAUUUAUUUUUUUAAAAAACUAUUUUAACAAAAUAACAGUUAACUAAUAAUAUAAUACCUAGCACAUGGGCCCGCACUCCUCAACGGUUCUAUAACAAUUUUUUUGUCCAAUGUAAAAAUACUUGAGUUGGGUUAAAAGCAUGGAGUGUAUUUAAACCAUUACCAUCUUAAAAAAAAAAAAGUAUUUUUUACAGUAGCACCAUGAAUAACAUAUAACAGAGCAGCAGCCAAUACACCUGCAACUUCAUUGUAUUUUUUUUUUCUUUUAAGAUAUUUUAAACUGUAUUUUUUUUCCUCUUUAAAUUCUUUUCCUUUUCUCUUAGUGAAUUUUUUUUAUACUGUAAAGAGGAAAUAAAUUAAUGUGACUUUUUUCAUAUUAUAUAAAAGUUGGGUGAUGAUGAUUUUUUUUAAUUUUAGGUUGGAUUGAUUUAUCUUAUUAAAGCAUUUUUGUUUUGGCGUUUCAAAAAUAGUAUUAAUUUUUUUUGAAAGUUGUUUAUUUUAUUCUUUACUUGAAAUUAAUAUUUCUUGAUGUUAUUGUAUUAUUUUGAUGUGAUGAUAUAAAAAAAUAAAUUUUAAAAAUUAAAAAAUAUUAAUUUUUUAUAUGUUUAGUAAAACAUUACUCUUGGGACAAGCUACGCACUCGAACCCAAGUUGACUGGGUCUGGCUCCCCAGCCAGAACCAAGUUUCUUGAGUCAAACCCCAUGAUAUGGGGUCUUGCUACCCAGCAAGGCUCAACGCUGCUGUGUCCUGUUGGUAGCAGAACCCACUAAAGGUGGGCCAUGCUUUUUAGAAGGACCCAACAACUUUGGGCCCUACUUCCCAGCAUUGUCGGGUCCUCCUGAUUCAUUUUUUUUCUCCUUAAAUUUUAUUAUUUAAAUAAUUGAUUGAUUGAAAAUUAAAUUUCAUAAUUUAUUUUGGUUUGCUUUUAAUGAGAUUAUCCUUAUCUUAUAACACGAAUGAUAGCUUUGACAGGUUAACCUGAAUUAAAUAAGUCACCUAAUAUUCUCAUUAAUUAAUGAUCUUAUAUAUAUACAUAGAACGAAGAACGAAGGUGCAUAUAUAUAUAUAGCAUAUAUAUAAUAUAUAUAUAUAUAUAUAUAUAUAUAUAUAUAUAUAUAUAUGUAUAGAACGAAGAACGAAGUAUAUAUAGAACGAAGAACGAAGGUGCAUAUAUAUAUAUAGCAUACUUGUCUGGCGUCCUUGAAUAUAUAACACCCAUCACACCCAUCAAAAGUCAAAGGACGCCAGACAAUAUGCACCUUCGUUCUUCGUUCUAUAUAUAUAUAUAUAUAUGCAUUAACUCGAUAAUUGAUUGCUGUAGCGAUUUUAAGUAAAUAAUGCCGCCAGUGUCAAGACUGAGUCACAUAAGUUUAUUCAUUCCAUUUUCAGGUCAUGUGUGUCAGCUACUCGAAACAACUUUUAUCCCGCCAGCUAUAGCUGUAAGAACCAGCUUCAUAAGGCAAAGCCAGGGUUUUAAAAUUUGCUAUUAUUAUUCACUGUUAUUCACACUAUUAUUCACUGUUGCAAUUGUUGGUGUCUGUGGAGAAAGAAUUCUGUUCUGAGGUAACCGGAAUGCAUAAAAUGGUUUUGGUGGUUUGGAUGGUUUUGCUGAUGAUGAUGUUAAUGUUACAGUUAGCAAUAGCAGCACUCUUAGUAAAGUCUGGCUGCCCAGAUCAAUGUGGAGAGAUUCACAUCCCAUAUCCCUUUGGAACUAAAAGAGAGUGUUACAGGGACGAGUGGUUCAAAAUUGAAUGCAAUCAAACUGCCCGUCCUCCAACAGCUUUUAUAAGUUCAAUCAAAUUGGAGGUGGUGAAUAUUCCAGUUGAGAGAGGAAGCGUUAUUGUCAAAAUUCCAACGAUGUAUUUCAAUUGCACUGGCAGGAAAGAUAGUGCAACUCUUAAUCUCUCUGGAACUCCAUUUUUUUUCUCUGUUUGGAAUAUGUUCAGUGUAGUGGGUACUUGUAAUAAUACUGAAGCUUCCAUGACCAAAGAUAUUGUCAGUUGCUUCUCCACUUGCAGGAACAUGAAGAAUAACGUUAGUUUGGGAGAAAAUAAGAUGUGUUCUAUAGCUAAUCAAGGUGGUGAAGGAUGCAUGAUGGCUGAUCCAGAAUGGUUUAAAUCCAAUAUAAAUUUUAGAAAUUAUGUUCCAAUGUACCUGCAUUGGUUGAUCAACUCGAAUGAGGUUAAUGCUUCUUCCACCUUGUGUAAAUUUCACUAUCAAAACUCCUUCACAUCCCAGUGCGAGUGUCGAGCUGGAUUUCAGGGCAACCCUUACCUUGAAUGCAUGGGUAAAUAUCCUUUUCUCAUGUAAAUAUUGCUUAUGUAAAUAUUUCUCAUAUAAAUAUUUGUUGAUUUUUGCUUCGUUAUUUUAUUAGAUGUUGAUAAAGGCACAACUCCAAAGAAAAACCGGUGCCAAGGGAUUCUCAAAUUGAAUAUAAAAGGCAGUUGCAAGAUAAAUAAAAUUUAUAUAAUUAUAAUAGGUAUGAAAUCUUUGCCUCGUUAUUUCAUGAAAUGUUAUUUUGGCAAAUGUAAUAUUCGUAUUCUCAAAUUCUUCUGCAGCUGUAUGGUGUAUCAGGGAAUAGCUCAGCAUGCAUCAUAAUUACUAUUUGGCAAAGAGUCACUAACAAUAAAGUAAAUUUUAUUUUAACUUGAUGUGUUAGGAAAUGAGAUGCUUGAAAGAGAAAACCAAUUAAGAAAUCGGUUGUUUGACUCUUACAAGAACUGGGCCCUGAAAAGAAGCUGUCAAAUAAAAAACAACUCUCUUGAUAGACUGAAUAGUAUGAUUAAUUAAUUAAAUUGAUGUUGCUUGUGGCCAAUAAAUUAGGCUAAAUCAGCAAAACAAAAUUAUUAAAAAGUUGAAGUUUUGUAUUUAGACUCCUUUUCUUGUAUUGUCUUCUACUUAUUUAGAAACAAACAAAAUUACGUUAAAUGCUAUUUUAUGAAAUGUAAUAUUGGCAUUCUCAAACUCUUCUACAACUGCAUGGUGCAUUAAAAAUCACUCACAAUAAAUUAAAUGUUACUUUGGUUAAACAAUCAUAUAUGUCAAGAAUUUAACAUUUUUUUAUUUGCUGCAGUUAUAGGAGCAUUCAUUUUUGUAUGGGCAUUACUUAUUGGCAUAUGGUGGUUAUACAGACUAGUAAAGAAAAGAACAAACAGAGAACUAAUUAAAAGGAAUUUCUUCAAGCAAAAUGGUGGGUUAUUGUUACAGCAGCAGUUAUCCUUAGAUCAUGGCAGUGUUAAAAAAACAAAGAUAUUUACUUUAAAAGAGUUGGAGAGAGCCACUGAUGAUUUUAAUGAAUCUCAAAUACUUGGUCAAGGUGGGCAAGGCACAGUUUAUAAGGGGAUGUUAGAAGAUGGUAGCAUUGUUGCUGUUAAAAGGUCUGAAAAAGUGGGUGGAAAAAGGCUUGAGGAGUUUAUUAACGAGGUGAUCGUUCUCUCGCAAAUUAACCACAGGAAUGUGGUUAAGUUGCUAGGAUGUUGUUUGGAGACUGAAGUUCCUCUCCUUGUCUAUGAAUUCAUUCCCAACGGAAAUCUUUACAGGCUUCUCCAUGUUCCACACGGUGAUUUCUUAUUAUCUUGGGAAAGGCGAAUGCGGAUUGCUACAGAGGUUGCGGGAGCCCUUUCCUAUUUACACUCGGAAGCAUCCAUUCCGAUAUAUCACCGAGAUAUUAAGUCUAUGAACAUACUUAUAGACGAGGAAUAUAGAGCUAAAAUAUCUGAUUUUGGAACUUCAAGAGCCGUGGCCAUCAAUCAAACUCACUUGACCACUCAAGUGAAAGGUACCUUUGGCUACUUUGAUCCGGAGUACUUUCGAUCCGGCCAAUUUACAGAAAAAAGUGAUGUCUAUAGCUUUGGUGUGGUUUUGGUUGAGCUUAUGAGUGGACAAAAAUCGGUAUUCUCUUCAAGUCCAACAGGAACCAGAAGUUUAGCCAUGCACUUUAUUACAUUGAUGGAAGAUAGGAGGCUGUUUGAUAUUUUGGAUGCUAGAAUCAAAGAGCAUUGCCAGAAUGAAGAAGUUGUUGCUGUUGCCAGUAUUGCAAAAAGGUGCUUGAAUUUGCAUGGAAGAAACCGACCAACAAUGAGAGAAGUAACCUCAGACUUGGAAAGGAUAAUUAAAUCGUCACAAGCACCACAUGUUCAACCAGACAUCCAAAAGACAGAAAUCAUCAUGGCUGAUCAAGCAAGCAGCAGCUGGGAUGCAUUUCCGACAUCAAUGGCAGCCGCAGAGUUGGAGAGAUUCAUCAUCACACAUUGAUUCUAUGAUUACAACAUUAUAUGCUGGAAAUGAGAUGUAUACUUCUUAUCAAAGGCAACUUGUAAUAGUAAUAUCGUCCAUCAACAAACAUACAUGAAAUGAGUACUGUACAUCGUAAAAUUAAUUAUAUAAUAGAGACUGUCAUAAUCUAUUUUUGGGUCACUCCCAAAUUCAUUUUUAUUUUCUCCAAAAAAAAAAAAAACUACACAGUGCGGUUUUGAACGGCACUGUGCUGCUUCUUCUCCCCUGCGAAUGCAACGAAUGCUGAGACAGGGGAGAAGAAGAUUUUUGAAAUGUUUUCUUCCCACUCUUUCUCUACACCCCACUUGCCCAAAAAUCCUGCAACCAUUAUGGAAGAAACAUGAGACAUACAGAGACCCAUGCCCUGCACUUGAACAGGCAUGGUAAUCCUCUCCCCCGGCUGCCUAUAAAUACAUGGGAAAUGAAGAAGGAAAAGAGAGGAGGGUGGAAGGUUUUGAAAAGAGAGAACGAGGGAAACAUUUGAAAACAGAGAAGGAAGGAGAGAUUUGAGAAAGAACUGGAGACGCGAACAGCUGCCAUUCUCCGUCACCACCAGCACCAUGAGCACUGCCAACGCCAUUGUCAUUCUUCCUCAGCCUCUCACCAUCCUCCUCCCCCUGCUGCAAUACCCUUGAAGAAGAAGAAGCCUGCACCUCUGCACAGACAAGAAGAACAGCAGCAGCACCGUCAAUGCCAUUGCCAAGUCUUGGAAGCGAAAACGAAGAAGGAGAGAAAGGAGGAAGAACCACCGGCUGCUAUCCGCAUAGCCACCACCAGCGCCACCCCAGAGCCACUGCCAGCUGCUACCGUCCUCCCCGUCGUUGAUAACAGCCCUGCACCGUGAGAAACAGAAGAAGAAGCAGAAACAGAGACAGACAGAGGAAAAGAAGAAACAGAGGAGAAAGGAGGAGAAGCCGCCGCCUGGAACCACCAUCUGCAGCCACAUUCAACCACCACCAUCACCACCAGCACCGUGAGCAACAACAGUUUCUACCACAGAAACAGAAGAACAGCAGAGGGAAGGGGCAGAGAACCGAAAGCAGCAGGGAGAAGAAAAAAGAAGGGAAAACAGAAACCGCCAACUGCCACCAGCCGCCAACUCCACCACCGUUUCCACCGCCGACUUCAGGUCAUCCUACCCGUCCAGCCAGCCAUCACCGCCACGCCAGGUGAUCCACCCCUCUUCCUUCUUCUUCUUCUUCUUCUUCGCUGCAUCAUCUCCACUGUUCUGCGUGAACAGUGGAGAGUGAAUUAAUUCACUCUCCACUGUUCACGUAGCAUGUGAACAGUGAGAGCACUCCACUGUUCACUGUUUUGGCCCAGCCCAAAAUGAGUGGGCCGGGUCCGGCCCAGUCCAAAAAAAAAAUUAAAAAAAUAUAUAUUUUAAUAAAAAUUUAUGAUUUCCCCGCGUAUUUUUUUUACUAAAUUUUGCUUAAUAUUGGUUUGUAUUUUUAUAUCGUAAAAAUACAAAUAUGGUAUUAAAAUACCCGGUUUUCGUCAAAACUUUGAAAAAAAAUGUUUUGGUUUUCAUGCAUACGGCCAAGUCUUUCAAAGAAAAACAAACUACAUCAUAUUUUCAUACAACAAAGAAAACUUCAAAAAAAAAAUGUUUUUGCAUGCAUUUUUGGCUUUAAUAACCAGUUUAUUAAAGUCACGAGAACUUGGCCAAUAUUUUAAUAAUUCCAAAAAAAUUAUUUUGUUUUCUUUUAAUAUCAGGGAUUAUGAAUUUAUACGUAAAACGUAUUCUCGAUAUUAAAAAUAUAGUUUUUUUAUUGACGUUAGAACGGUUAGGUUCUACCCUAUUAAGAUAAGAACCUCCUUGUUGAGGAGGGCUUUUCUUGAAUCUUAGAUAGACAGGACCAACAAUUGGUAAACACGACCAAACCUUAGAUUUUGAUCAAACAAAUAAAACAAUGCAGCUUACCUUAGAUAGGGUGUAUUUGGGGUGCUAAUACCUUCCCUUUACGCAACCAGUCUCCGUACCCGAUCUCUGAGACCAGUUAGGGUUCCUAGUGACCAUAACACUAGGUGGCAACUCCAUUCCCUUUUCCCACUGAUAAGAGACAAGAAUUCCUUAUCUCCCCAUAUUUUCCAGAUACACACACAUUGAGUGAGGGUGGACGAUUGCCACGACGCCGCACACGUGCGACAGAGACGAUGGUAAAAAUGCAACCAUUUACUUAAGAACAAACUAUAAACAUGGUUACAAUAUUACCUUGAACCAAAAUAUUCCCAUGGAAAGAAAUCAACGGGUGAUUCGCCAAACAAAAACUUGGUGUAAUGGUUUUUAGGUUGAAAAGGACCAAGCGCCAAGUGGAGAAGAAAAAAAUACCUUGCACGUUCACGAUUGCAAUACCUAUGUGGUGGAAAUUUGUCAUAGGAAUGGAGAUCAAGAGUUGUUCCAGGAGGAAAGAAAGCAUUGAGGAGGGCCAACAACCAUGGCUUGCAGAAAUACAUGGUAUUAUAAUGCAAUGUCCGCCACCCAAGUGAUUUCACUAACUUGUUCAUUAUGAUAACCGAUAUGCCAUGGUCCAUUUCAUUCCAACUUCUAAUUUGACAAGUCGUCGCAACUACUUCUUGUAGUUUUGGCCUCUUGUGGUUACGCCUUGUUGAUAAACUAUACAUGAUGUCACCACUUUGUUGUUGCAUCUCCGAUACCGGUGAUGGUGGCGACACCGCUGACAUUGGCAGUUUUUGAGAGCGUUUCUUGAACCACGUUCCCAUCAAAUUAAGGUCCCUUUUUACAGGAAAAAAAGAAGUUAUUAACUAGCACUUCACAUAUGUACUGUGUCGUUAAAAAUACAUGAUUCCAAAUUGAGAAAUGAUAUUUGGAUCAUACAUACAUACAUACAUACAUAUACAUACAAAUUGGAAGACCGAAUUCAGAUUUUUUUAUCCUAAAGAAAUAAAAAUCACACCCAUAAAAAUUAAAGCAAAAAAAAAAACCAUAGCAUUAUUUUUCUGUGUUUGCAAGGCUUGCUGGUAUUUCCUUUCUAUCUUGCCCGUUGUUUCUAUAACCCUCAAUUUUAGAGGAGGAACUUAUUGGAUCCUAGAGGAUAGCCUUGUGUUGAAGAAAUACCCUUAAAGACAGUGUCUAUACACACCUCAAGUUAUAGUUUUUUCUAUUCAUUGCAGCUUUCUUACAACAUUACUUUGGACUUGGUCGACUACCAAGUCCAGACGUCUUGGGUCUGGCAAACAUGCCUGACUCACGUACUUUGGACGUGUCUUAUUGCCAAGUCCACUCGCUUUGGACUUGCAUUCUGCCAUGUCCAAGCGCCUUGAGCCCGCGAAACAUGCUUGACCCAUGUUACAUGGACUUGGCCGACCGUCAAGUCCACUCGUUGUGGACUUGUCUGUUUGUCAAGUCCAGGCACCUUGGGAUUGGCAAGCAUGUCAGACUCACGUUACUUUGGACUUGGCUGAGCUUGCUGCUACUCGAGCUGAGCUGGCAACUGCCAAGGAAGAGAAUAAGAUUUCUCAAGCUAAAUUGGAGGCUUUAAGUAAUACUCCCAAGGAAUUUCAAGAGUUUUUCUGGGGCUCAACAGCUUUGACCAAAAUGGCAGGAUAUAUGAUAUUCCUAGCUAUGUCCAAUCUGUAUUUCCUCAACCUCUCUAAAGGGAAGCAAGUGGAUUUUAUUGCAGCCUUCCAUCUAGUUUCCGUUAAUUUUGUUGAUUUUUACGAGUUUUAGUCCCCGUGUUGAGUUCUAUUGUAGGUCCAACACCCAUUUUUAAGCUUUUUCUUUUAUGGGUCCAACGCCCACACAUGAUAAAUAUUUUGGGGUUCAACGCCUAGUGAAGAUGGUUCUGACAUCUUGCCAGAACCACGGGCUCUUAGGCUCAUCGCUUGUUUGAGCCCAAGGGAGGAGGGUCUAGCAUCUCGCCAGACUACGUGCACCAAAGGUUUCAGCAAGAGUUGGUGUGGACUCAUAGGUGUUGUAACCUAUUUUUGGGUCGCCACAUAAAAAAUAAAAAAAAUAUUAUCAAAAAAUAUAACAGUGAAAAACAAAAUGCCAGAGCGGCCUAAAAAUGCUCAAAAAUAGAUUGAGGACGUUCAAAAAAAAUAAAAUAAAAAUUUAAUGGUAUAUCAUUGACUGAUGAAAGUCUUAUUGACAAAGAAAAUACAAUUUGAGAAAGAAAAGUCUAAAAUCAGAAGUUUAUGGACUCAAUUAAAUUUUAUUGGAGGUUUAAUUGAAUUUAUAGAGGUUUUAAUUGCAAGAAAAAUUGAUUUUGGAGUUAAUUUGGGCUUUAAUUGAAAGAAAUUAAAGUUCUGGGGUCAAAUUAUAAUUUUUGAGAAUUAAUUUGGUCAAAUCAAGGGCUUAAUUGCAUAAAUAUUGAAGUUUGAUGGCCAAUUAGGGACUUAAUUGAAGAAAUCUGAGACCAAGGACUAAAAUGCAAAACGUGCGCAAAUUGAAGGCCUUCUUUAAAAUCUGAUGGGUUUUGGCUCCUCUUCCUUUUAAAUAAACGGUGUGUUUUGAUCAAAACGGCGUCGUUUCAUGCAUUGUUAAAAAAAAACAACAACCCCUGAAACAAUGUCGUUUUGAACGGCACCAUAAUCUUCUUCCCCUAGACAAGCAGAGAACAUGGGAGAAGAAGAUUUUCUUUUCUCCUCUGUUUGGCACCGACUUCCCUCCCCCCAAUGACUUCAAAAAGACGCCGACAUAACCCACUUUCCACGUGUUGAAGGGAUGGUGGAGGGGCGGCAGAACAAUGGCCGCCCCAGCCACGUCUCCCUCCCUUGUUUUCCUAUAAAUACAGGGGAGGGACCGAGAGAUAGAAAGGAGAGAAAAAAGAGAGAGAUCGAGGGACCGAGAGAGAGACAAUAGAGAAGAGGAGAGAGAGGGAAGAGAAGAGAAGAGGAGAGAAAGAACAAACAAAAAAAAGAAGACGAAGCAGAGAAGAGAACAAAAAAACAGAGGAGAGAGAGAGAGAAGGAAAAGUAGAGCCACCGUCGGCCACCGUGAACCGCCAACGCCAUCACCAGCGCCGUUUCCUGUCGCCCCCAGAAGCUCUGCCAAAGAUGCCAGCCACCGCUGACAACAACAACCACCGCCAGCACUGCCAUGUAAUCUUCUCUCCUUCCCUGCUCCGUUUUCUGUUUUCCUUCAUUUUUGCAUGCAGAAUGUGAGCAAUUCACGUUCUGCAGCAAGAUGAAAAUAAUUAGCUAGUUACUAUGCUGUGCACAGUAACCUGCCAAUUAUAAUCUUUUGGGCCAGUGUUGACCCAUUUUACCUUUUGAGCUAGUGCUUGCCCAUUUUUCAUGUUGGGUCGGUGCUAGCCCAUUUCAUUUUUAUGUUGGGCCGUGCCGGUCCAUUUUAAUUUUAUGUCGUUAAAAAUACAAAAUCCGGUAUUAAAAUACCCGGUUUUCAUCAAAACUUCCAAAAAUACAAAAAAAAAAAAAAAAAAUGUUUUUGUGCAUACGACUAAGUGUCUCAAAGCUAAAAAAUCAUUUUGUGUUUUUCAUGCAUAAAAAAACAAUGUUUUAGCAUGCAUUUUUGCUUUAAUAACCAGUUUAUUAAAGUCAAGAAAAUAUUGGCCAAAAUUUCAAAAACAACAAAAAAUUUAUUUUGUUUGAUUUUAGUAUCAGGGAUUAUGAAUUUAUACGUAAAACGUAUUCCCGAUAUUAAAAAGACAUUUUUUCUUUUGACGACUUAGAAUAGUUAGGUUUUUACCCGAUAAGAUAAGGAUCUCUUUACAGAGGAGGACUUUUCUUAAACUGUAAACAGACUGACAAUUAGAAACCACAACAGGACUUUAGAUUUUAUCAGACAAAACAAUGCAGCUUACCUUAGGUAGGGCGUAGUUGGGGUCCUAAUACCUUUCAUUUACGCAACCAGUCUCCGUGCUCGAUCUCUGAGACCAGUUAGGGUUCCUAGUAACCAGAUUACUAGGUGGCGACUCCUAGUCCAUAUUUUACUGAUAAGAGACAAGAAUUCCUUAUCUCACCACAUUUUCCAGGAAUAAUUCCAUAUUCCAUUUUUCCUUGAGGGUGGACGAUCGCCGCGACGCCGCAUACGUGCGACAGAAUGGCGAGUCCACUAGGGACCUUGUGGACUAAGCUUUGUUUUUGUCUUAUUAUUGUUUUUUUUAUUGUUGUGAUUUGCGUGUUUAUUGUUUAUGCAUUUCCUUUAUUUAUUGCUUAUGUGCUUUAAUUUUUGUACAUAUUUGUUCAUGCAUUGUAUAAAAUUGCUUCAUGCAUCACAUGCUUUAUAUUUUUCAAGCACACACAAGCUUCUAAGUUAAGUGGGGAAUUAACGAUCUGCCCUAUGACCAUUGGUCAGUGUUCAGAUGCGUGAAACACCCAACUCAUAUCUGAGUGCCUGCUUUGUAAUGAUGGGUAUACGUGCCUUAACCAUUUCUCGCAACGCCCCUAUAUUGUCUUUACGAAGAUCGUCACUGGGUAGAUAUGAGACCCUUUUGAGACCAGGUAGAAAACCUGCCUAUAUUCAUAUAAUGAAUAGAACCUGUCCUUAGGUUGUAUGUGCUACUUUUAUUUAUGUCAGGGCAAACCCUUCUUGAAGCAUCUUGAACUCAAGACUUAUGGGUGGCAUAAUGACCCUUACUCAAGAAAAUUUUCAUUGUAAAGUGUGGGCAAGAAUCAAGAUUCUUGUUUCAUCAUGCAAGAGUUACAAUCAUAUGUCACCCCUCGAAGGGCAAGUUCAUCAUAUAAAUUACAUGUUCAUACAUUUAACAUGCAUAAAUGGUAGAUUGAAAUAUAGGUUCCCAAAAAGUCUACAACACCCGACUUAGAGCGAGAAGCAUGAAAGAUGAAGAGCGUGCUCAAUGUGAUGCCUAUUUUCAAGAAGAGUUGGAGUCUCUGAAAACAAGCAUAACUCACCUCACUAGCUUACUCGAGCAAACACUGAGAAAUACCUCUGGUGAAGGUCCUUCUAACCGACCGAUCACCUUUAAUCCGGCUCCUACUACAGUUCAGCCUGAAGAAAGAAUGAGCGAACAUGGUCAAGAGCCUCAGCAAAAUCCAACAUUUAUGCAGUCAGCGACACUUGCACCAGCCCUAACAAUCAUUGAGGUAUCUGCUAACGAGUCCCACAAGGCUAAGUCAUCUGAUAUCAUUGAUCAAUCUAAGAUAGAGGCUUUGGAAGCCAGGCUCAAAGUCAUUGAAGGGGUAGACUUAUGCGACCCGGUACAGGCAGCAGAGAUGUGUUUAGUCCCAAACAUGGUUGUCCUAAAGAAAUUUCGUGAUCAUGAGUUCAUCAAAUACAGUGGAACACAAUGCCCCAUGACUCAUCUCAGGUCCUACUGUAAUAAAAUGGCAGAGGUAGUAGAUGAUGAAAAACUACUGAUGCAUUUUUUUCAAGACAACUUAAGUGGCACAACAUUGAGCUGGUACAUGAGAUUGGAUAACACAAAAAUCCGCAACUAGAAAGAUCUUGUCGAUGCUUUUGUUAAGCAAUACAAAUACAACAUGGACAUCGCUCCUGACAGAACCAGCUUGUCCAAUCUAGAGAAAAGGGACAAAGAAAGCAUAGGGAAUAUGCUCAAAGAUGGCGAGAAUCAGCUGCUCAAGUACAUCCCCCACUUUUGGACAAAGAGAUGGUCUUUUUAUUUGCCAAAACACUCAAAGCACCAUAUUACAAACAUAUGAUGGGUAGUUCAGCCCAACAAUUCACUGAUGGUGUGAUAGUGUGUGAACGCAUAAAGCAAGGUGUCAAGAGUGGUAGAAUUUCUGCACCCACCAAGAAAAGAGCCUUCGAAAGAAAAGAGGUCCACCAUGUUGAAGAUGGCUACAGGGGUAGGAAAAACUCAUUCCAAAAUUACCAUACUCCAUCCCAAAUUGCCAACAUAAAAAAACCUGAACCCCAAAACUUUCAAGCUAAAAGCCAAAUUGGAAAUUACCAAAAGGUUUAAGAACAACUACCUCCACUACCACUACCCCUGAAUGAGAUGUAUCAAAAGCUAUUGAGCAUCGGGCAGAUAACUACAGAACUUCUGACACCUCUGCAGCCACCUUAUCCUAAUUGGUACAAGCCAGAACUCAAUUGUGAAUACCAUUCUUGUAUUGUUGGGCAUAACAUCCAUACUUGCAACGCCUUCAAGAGGAAGUUUCUACAAUUAAUUAAAGCCGGGUGGAUAGAGUUGGAAGACGCCCCCAAUGUGAAUACGAACUCGUUUCCUAAUCAUGCUUAAAGCAUAUUAGGAUGGAAUGUUUGGGGAAUUGGAAAGCAUCCAUGGUCCAACAUGAUAUCAUGAAUUUUAUAGAACUCAAAUUUUGACCAUGGUGUUGUUCUGCAUUGUCUUUGAGUCCUCUGCACAGAGCUUUUGAGAGGAGGCUAGCCUAUGAACAGAUUCGCCAAAAUAGAGGAAUGAAGCUUGCCUUGUUAUUGCCUUUUGCUAAUGCUUUUGAAUAAGACUUUCUAUGUUAAAUGAGCUUUUCUUGUGAAAUAAGGUUAUGUGUUUUCUUGUGUUCAUAUCACACUCUUCUUUGUUGUUAUCACAUAAAAAUAGCAUUUUGAGCACAACUUUGCUCACAAAACUACAACAUGAAGAAUCCUUCAGUGUUCCUUUCUUCCAAAACCAUACAUAAUCUCAUAUGUUUUCAAGGAUAAUUUUUGGGACCUCCAAAGUGAGUACAAAAAUAGAAAUCAUGUUGGUAUUUGUCCAAAACAAAUGCAUUUUAGAAAUUCAAAUGCUUCCUUAGAUAGGUACACAUAUACCUAGAAAACUUGAAAGAAAAAAGACAAAACAAAGACAAACAACACUAUGAAGUGACUCAAAAGUUGAGUUUUAUUUGACUAAAUAAAUCACUUUGCAUACGCACAUGAAAGCAACACCUAUCAAUCCUCAAUGCAGUGCAUUUGAGAUGAGGAAAUGCCAUCUUUAAUAAUCCUUUCACAAGGCUAAAAUAUAUCCUUUACAGUCCCAUUUUGAGCCUAAUAAUGUUUUUUUAGAAAUAACCUUGACUAGGAUCACACCCCACACUGGGGGGCAAAAUAAAAGAGUUUUUUGUUUUUACCAUCCAGACAAAGCAGUGAAGAUGGGUGCUGGAAUUGAUCAUGUAAUUUUUAGUCUUUCAUUAUCAUCCAAAUGAAGCAGUGAAGAUAAAUACUGUGAUUGGUUAAGAAAAGAAAAGAAGAAGAUCCAAAGGAUCUAAAAGAUUUGAGCUUCUCAUAAAAACAACUGAUAUGAUUAUGCUCAACCAAACAAAAAUGAAGAAAACAAAUAGAAAAAGCCCAAACCCGACAAUGGAGGGCAUGAAGACUAUUUUGAAAAAACAAAUCCAAAAGACAAAAGGUCAGGAAACAAGCACAAGUGAUCCUUAGUCUUGAAAUCCCUUAAACACCUUUUGAGCCUGCAACAUAUCAUUUUCUUCAUAACCAAUAGCCAAAGCCUACAUUACGUACCUAAUCAAGCCCUUUUUUAUCAAAGGCAAGCAAUCUGGAUUGGUAGGCAGUGCUUUAUCGUGCGAGUCAAAUCAUUAUUCAUGCAAAUAAAAUAAAAGCUUUGACUCAAUUUCGAUUCUCAAUAACCCUCAAAUUGAAAUUUAAACCUUUUAUGACCAACCAAAUGUCACUUCAUCUUUAAACCAAAAGUAAAAAGCUUUCAUCACUUCAAGAAACCUGUCCAUAGGAAUUGCUUGAAUUUUUUAGAACAAGUUUAUUUUGAACCAAUGUCAAAAUGAGUUUUGUGGUUGGAAUAACUUGGAAGUUCCAAAAAAAAUUUUGCAUGAAAACAUUUCAUUGUACAAAAAACCCAAAAUUACUUUCACAUAUCCUCGCCCCAAAGUAAACCAAAUUGAACAUAUGGGGGGCAUGAUCAAGCUGGGGGGCAAACAAAAAUACAUGGUAGGGCUGGCUCCAUGAUUCCUUUUCUAAAAAAAGGUCGGGCGAAAUUGGCAACCCUUGAGAUAAAGGGUGAAGGACAAAGAGGUAUGAUGACAUCAAACCCUUCCCAGAGAUCAAGAUCACAAAAUGUGACUCGAGUAAGCAAAAGUGGAAAAACCAUCAAAGUUUACUACCAACACUCAAACUUUUAAGAAAAGAAAGACACCAUGAAGAAAUGGGGACCUAUAUUUCUCAGGUAAGUAUACAUGCAUAGCAAUCAUAAUGCAUUUGCUUUUACCAUUGACAGAUCGGUGUUUCAUCAUCACUUCUUAGGUAGUGCAUUUUAUAACUCUACCCAUUUUUAAGUGCGCCUUUGAACCCUCACCUCUUUUUUAGUGCGCCUUUAAGCCUCAAAUCCUUUUGAGUGCGCCUUUGAGCCCUCACACCUCUUUUUGGGUGCGCCUUUAUGCUCUCACCUCCUUUUGAGUGUGGCUUUGAGCCCUCACACCCAUUUUUGAGUGCGCCUUUGAGCCCUCACCUCCCUUUUGAUGCGCCUUUAAGCCCUCAACUUGUUUUGAGUGUGCCUUUGAGCCCCCAUCCCUUGGGGUAGUGCAUUUUCUAACCCUACCUCCUUUUGAGUGCUCCUUUGAGCCCUCGCCAUCCAAUUUUUGGGUAGGUCACCCAUUACAAUUCGACCAAUUCUCCAUGUUUUUAUCUAGAUAGGUGGUAUAACAAUGAGACCAUUCCUUCACUUGGGUAGGUCACCUAUUACAACACGACCACUCUUUCUUUUUUCCAUUUUUAGGUAGGUCACCCAUUACAAUUCGACCAAUUCUUCAUGUUUUUAUCUGGGUAGGUCACCCAUUACAAUUCGACCAUUUUCCAUGUUUUUUUUCUUUGGGUAGGUUACCCUUUACAAUGAGACCACUCUUUACUUUUAUGUUUGGGUAGGUCGCCCAUGAAAAUAGACCAGUGUCAGCGUGAAUAUGUGGGCUGAUCGCCCCUGAAAAUAGACCACUUUGAGAAUGUGUGGGUAGGUCGCCCAUAAAAGAAGACCAGAGUAAGUGUGAGUGCGUGGGCAGGUCGCCCGUGAAAAUAGACCAUCUUUCUUAAAAAAUAAAACAAAGGGUUUAAACACAUAGGAUUUUGGUUCUGGUUAGAGGGGAUUGACGAAAGGAAUCUCAGUCUAUCCUAACCACACACACAGGAUUUUGGUUCUGGUUAGAGGGGAUUGGCAAAAAGAAUCUUAGUCUAUCCUAACCACACAUAGAAGAUUUUGGUUCUGGUUAGAGGGGAUUGGUGAAAGGAAUCUCAGUCUAUCCUAACCACACACACACACAGUAUUUUGGGUUCUAGUUAUAGGGGAUUGGCAAAAGGAAUCUCAAUUUAGCCAAAUCAUACACAAGACUUUGGGUCCGUUUGAAGUUUUAGGUCAACCAAAUUUUGAGAAGACCAGUUUUGGAAGACCAAUUUUAUUUAUCUUUACAACACUUACUACGCAAAAGCUUUGCUUUGUAAGCAUUGUAAAAGGGGGGGCAACUGUUGAACCCAUUUUUGGGUCCCCACACAAAUAAUAAUAAUAAUAAUAAUAAUAAAAUCAAAAAAAUAUUAUCAAAAAAUAUAACAAUGAAAAAAAAAUGCCAGAACGCCUUAAAAAUUCUCAAAAAUUGAUUAAGGAUGUUCAAAAAUAUAAAAAUUAAAAUUUGAUAGUAUAUCAUUGACUGAUGAAAGUCCUAUUGACAAAGAAAAUACAAUUUGAGGAAGAAAAGUCCAAAAUCAGAAGUGUAUUGACUCAAUUAAAUUUUAUUGGAGGUUUAAUUGAAUUUAUAGAGGUUUUAAUUGCAAGAAAAAUUGAUUUUGGAGUUAAUUUGAGCUUUAAUUGGAAGAAAUUAAAGUUCUGGGGUCAAAUUAUAAUUUUUGAGAAUUAAUUUGGUCAAAUCAGGGGCUUAAUUGCAUAAAUAUUGAAGUUUGAUGGCCAAUUAGGGACUUAAUUGAAGAAAUCUGAGACCAAGGACUAAAAUGCAAAACACGCGCAAAUUGAAGGCCUUCUUUGAAUCUGACGGGUUUUGGCUCCUUUUCCUUUUAAAUGAAACGGCACGUUUUGAACCGAGGGAUCGAGAGAGAGACAAUAGAGAAGAGGAGAGAGAGGGCAGAGAAGAGAAGAGAAAGAACAAAAAAAAAAGACGAAGCAGAGAAGAGAACAAAAAAACAAAGGAGAGAGAGAGAAGGAAAAGUAGAGCCACCGCCGGCCACCGCAAACCACCAACGCCAUCAUCAGCACCGUUUCUUGUCGCCCCCAGAAGCUCUGGCAAUGACGGCAACCACCGCAGACGACAACAACCACCGCUAGCAUCGCCGAGUAAUCUUCUCUUCUUCCCUGCUCCGUUUUCUGUUUUCCUUCAUUUUUGCAUGCAGAACGUGAGCAAUUCACGUUCUGCAGCAAUAUGAAAAUAAUUAGCUGGUUAUUGUGUUGUGCACAGUAACCAUCCAAUUAUAAUCUUUUGGCCAAUGUUGGCCCAUUUUCAUGUUGGGCCGAUGCUGGCCCAUUUUACCUUUUGGGCCGGUGCUGGCCCAUUUUACCUUUUGGGCCGGUGCUUGCCCAUUUUUCAUGUUGGGUUAGUGCUAGCCCAUUUCAUUUUUAUGUUGGGCCGUGCCGGUUCAUUUUAAUUUUAUGUCGUUAAAAAUACAAAAUCUGGUAUUAAAAUACACGGUUUUUGUCAAAACUUCCAAAAAUACAAAAAAAAUUGAAAAAAGAAAAAAAGUUUGUGUGCAUACGACCAAGUGUAUCAAAGCUAAAAAAUCAUUUCGUGUUUUUCAUGCAUAAAAAAACAAUGUUUUAGCAUGCAUUUUGGCUUUAAUAACUAGUUUAUUAAAGUCAAGAGAACAUUGACCAAAAUUUCAAAAACAACAAAAAAUUUAUUUUGUUUGAUUUUAGUAUCAGGGAUUAUGAAUUUAUACGUAAAAUUAUUCCAGUUAUUAAAAAGACAUUUUUUCUUUUGACGACUUAGAAUAGUUAGGUUUUUACCCGAUAAGAUAAGGAUCUCUUUACAGAGGCGGACUUUUCUUAAACUGUAAACGGACCGACAAUUAGAAACCACAACAGGACUUUAGAUUUUAUCAGACAAAACAAUGCAGCUUACCUUAAGUAGGGCGUAGUUGGGGUGCUAAUACCUUUUCUUUACGCAACCAGUCUCCGUACUCGAUCUCUGAGACCAGUUAGGGUUCUUAGUAACCAGAUUACUGGGUGGCGACUCCUAGUCCAUAUUUUACUAUAAGAGACAAGAAUUCCUUGUCUCACCACAUUUGCCAGGAAUAAUUCCAUAUUCCAUUUUUUUCCUUGAGGGUGGACGAUCGUCGCGCCGCCGCACACGUGCGACACUUUUGAUUUUUUUUAUCCUUUUGUUAAAUUGGUUUUUUUUCCUCAAUUCCACCCUUCAAUAAAAAAAAAUAUUUUGUAUUUCAAAUUUGAUCCUCGUUCCUUUAAUUGCUAUUUUUUGUUUUAAAUCCUUAUGUAUAAUUGAUUUUUUUUUCAAUUUCAUCCUUCAAUAUUUUAUUAAUUGAGAAUUGGGCUUUAUGGUUUGUCAGAUAAUGUGCUUUAGGUCUAAUGAUCUGGGUCAUGAAAUGAAAAGUUACCAUGCUCAAAUAAAUAAAAUUAACCUUAGAUGAGGUUUUGAAAACUAAAAUUAAAGAAGAAUGGAUCCCUCCUGGAUGUUAAAAAAAAUAAUAAAUAAAAAUUCAGCAAGGCUAAAUGGAAGAAGAGGAAAAUUAUAUUUGACUAAGUUAGGAUUUUAGUGUGAAUGGAAAUAUAUUUAAUGGGGUUAAGUAAUGCAUAAACAAAUAGGAUGUAAACAGGAAAAAAAAAUGUCAUUCUUACUAAACUAAGAAAUUUUGGCAAAGGGAGGAAAGAAAUAAAAGGAUGGAAUGUGGAUGUGGGUAAUGGUAAAAUUAGUGUUGAAAUACAUUAAGAAACAUGGUGAGAAUGAUUGAAUUGCAAAUUAAAUAGGAAGGAAGGACAAUCUUAAUUUUCCAUCUUAUAAAGGUUUGGCUAAGUUCAUGAAAAUAAAUGAAUUGGGUUGUUCAAGUUGGUUUUGUUAAAUUGUGACAAAAUCCUUGUUUAAUCAUAUUGUUGUAAUAUCUAUGAAUUAAGGAGAGCGGUGGAAUUGAAGUCAUGGAAUGGAUAAUACAACCACUUUAUUAGUUGGAUAAACCAUGACGAUAAAUGUAUUAUAAAUAAAAUAAUUUAUUAUUGGUAUAUGGAUUGGAAGUAGUUUAUUAGUGAUUUAUAAUGUGAAGUUUAAAUUUAAUUUCAUGAUGACAAAAUAAAUUUAAAUUAUUUCAGAAAGAAAUAAUUGUAUAAGUGAUAUAGUAAUUCAUGUCAGUACAGGAGAGUCGCCUCCGGGGAGGACAAUAUCAGGGUCGUGCAUUUCGUGACCAGACUGCAGGUAGGUGCUCAACACCUAAUCUAUUUAGAAAAUUUUAAGAUAUUGUAAUUUUUCUUAUAACACCAUUGUAAAUAUAAACAUUGAUGUGAUAUUAUUAUUAAGAAAAUUGAAAAGUUCUAGUUGCCCAGUGAGGAAUUGGUGGUGGUGGAACUAAUUGAAGGAUUAUAAUGAUUGAUACGAACGAUAUCGUAUAUUUUUGGAAAAAGAUUGUUGUGUGUUAUGCUUUUAAAGUUGAUAAUAAAGUAAUUUUGUGAUAUUAUUAUGUAUAUUGUGGUUGUGCUAAUUGCAGAAAAAUUUAUACGUUGAAUUAGUGAUGCGGUAAAAGGGUCGGUGCCCGGUAAAUUGGGUAGAUAAAUUAGUGACCCGGUAAAGGGGUAGGUUCCCGGGGAAAGGGGCAGAUGAAUUAAUGACCCCGUAAAGAGGGUCAAUGCCCAGUAAAUAGGGCAUAUAAAUUAGUGACCCGGUAAAGGGGUCGGUGCUCGAGAAAAGGGGCAGAUGAAUUAGUGACCUCGAUAAAGGGGUAUGUGCCCGAUAAACAGGGCAUAUGAAUAAGUGACCCGGUAAAGGAGUUGGUGCCCGGGAAAAGAGGCGGAUGAAUUAGUGACCCGGUAAAGGGGUUGGUGCCGGAUGAACUAGUGACCCGGUAAAGAGGGUCGGUGCCCGGUAAAUGAGCCAUAUGAUUUAGUGACCCGGUAAAGGGGGUAUGUGCCCAGUAAAUGGGGCGUAUGAAUUAGCGACCUGGUAAAGGGGUCGGUGCCCAGGGAAAUUGGGCCGAUAAAUUAGUGACUCGGUAAAGAGGGUCGAUGCCCAGGAAAUUGGGCAAAUAAAUUAGUGACCCAGUAACGGGGUUAAUGUUAGAUGUUGGAUGGUUGGAUUUUUGCACAGUCAAAAGUAAUGGACUGGACCUGGGAUCAAUGUUGAGUUUUGGUAAAUGUGAUAGAUACCUAGUAAAUGAGCAUAAUGUGAGGAACUAGUUAUCCGGAUGUUUGAGACUAGUGUCUUGAUUAAAGGGUUACUAAUAAAAGCAAUUAUCGAAUGGAUAAUUAGUAUACACGGUAUAAUGUUAACAUGAAAUCUUAAAAAUCAAAUUUGGAAAAACAUUUUAUCAGAAAAAGAAAAUGUGUAUGGUGAUUGAAUAUGUGAAAAUGAUUGGGAUGUCAUGAUAAUUCUUAUUUUCGAACUACUGCAACAUUGUACCCUGUUCUAGGUGAUGAGCAUUACUACCGGAUGAGGGGUGAAUGCUUCGUGAGGAGGAAUGAGAGUGGUUGUUUGAUUUAGAAAUUAUUGCCUGGCUUAGAUUGGGGGAAAAAAAUCCUAAACGGUAGGGACUGGCCGAGAAGAAUUGUUAGGGUGAUCCUGGACGAGGUGUUAUUACUUGGUAUUGAUCAGCUAGAGCUAGUACGUGGGUCAUUAUUUACUAGAGCGGUACUGUUGAUUAGUGUCCAAGAAUUACUAAAGACGUUAAUGGAAAGGCACUAGGGAUCGAGGCUUUAAACACAAAUCCUAAUUGAGGGUUUAGAUUGAAGGGUUGGUGCCUUAAUCUAUAGAGUUGUUGUAAGGCAUUAGUGACUCGGAUAGGGAGAAAGGAACCGUAAUUGAUGGAACCGAAGGGGAACCUAGUUCCUUUCAUAGGAACUAGUGUUUAUUCAGUGUUAGAAAUGAAAUUGUUAGAACAAAAGAUGUGAUGUGAUAUUGUGGGGUAUUAGUAAUAGGGAGUACUCUCGUUAAAUAUGGUAGAUAGUAAAACAAGUUAUGAUGUUGAUUAGAUGGACGCGUAGAACUCAAGAUGUAUAUUCAGAUGAUGCCGAAUAGAGUAAUUGAGAUGGUCAUUGGCAUAACGAUGAUUGGACUAAAGUGAUUAGUCGAUUUCACUACUAGGAUACAUGAAUACCAUAGUUACGCUCAAGCAAACUUGGUCAUUUGAAUAUUUAUUUUGUUUUUCUUCCAAUUUUGGCUAGUGAUUACUAUAAUAUAUACAUUGCAAUUUUGUAAUUACGAGGUAUCUACUAAACUAUAUUAAUUAACUUCUCACUCAUAUUUAAUUAACAUAUAUUAUUUGAUUUUUAAUUAAUUGUAUUAAACAUAGAAAUUAUUUUUUUCAUUCAUCAUGACAAUGCCAGAAUCUUCUUCUCUUGUGUUCUAAAUUAAAUUGAAAUCCAAGCCGCAAUGUAAUUAGGAUACAUUGACUAGUAUUAUAACAUUAUUUAAAGAACAAUAAUGGUAACAAUCAAUAUCUUAUUAUUAGAUAAUCAAGUUAUUAUUAUUAUUUUUAAUUAUUUUUUAUAUUUAGAAAAGUACCAAAUUGCCCUUAAGCUGACUUAAUAAUAAUUAAAAAAAACAAUUAUGAAAAGAUAAAAAGCCCUUAAGUUUUAAAAUUUUUUUAAAGAGUAUUUUGUUCGUUUCUCUGUGCUCUUUAACUUUUUAUUAUUUUUUAUAUUUAACUAAAUGUUUCCUAAGCUAACAUCAUAACGAAAAAACCAUUGUAAGUGUCGCAUGUGUGUGGCGUCGCAGUGAAAAAUCCACUCUCAUAUUGUAUUAUCGUCUAUCUAUUUGACAAAUGUGUGGAGACAAUGAAUUUUUGUCUUUUUCAGUGAAAAAAUGGAAUGGAAGUCGCCACCUAGUAUUUUGGUCACUAGGAACCCUAACUGGUUCCAAAGAUCGGUUACGGGGACUAGUUGCGUAAAGAGAAAGUAUUAGCACCCUAACUACGCCCUACUUAAAGUAAGCUACAUUGUUUUUUUGUCUGAUAUAUGCUAAGGCUUCAUCGUAUUUCUAAUUGUUGGUCUGUUUACGGUUUAAGAAAAGUCCUCCUAGGUAAGGAGAUCAUUAUCUUAUCGGGUAAAACCUAGUCGUUCUAACGUAAACAAAAGAACUACCUUUUAAUAUCAGGAAUACUUACAAACAUUCCUCCUAGAAAAUUUCUUGCAACGAAUUAUAUAACAAAAUCUAAUUAGGCAUGGAAAAACACUGUUCACUAGAACAAUAUAAUCAUGUAUUUGCCCUUCACAUAACAAAAUAUUGAAUUGGCUAUUGAGGGAAUCCAUAUCUUUAUUUAUUUUUUUAUUAACGUGGGUGUCCGGCCACUAUGUAAGCCUUUAAUGGCCCUAAGGUUUAUGAGACUCGAACUGGUGACCUCUAGAGAGGAAACUCAGGGCCUGACCAAUUAAGUUACACCUCUCAUAGUUGAGGGAAUUCAUGUCUUUUUAUAAGAUGUAUUAGUCAUUACUAAAUUCAUCAGUGACAAAUAAGUUUUUUCCAAUUUUAAAUGCAAAGUUAACAACCAAAAUGCCCUUAAAAGAAAAUUUUUAAAACUAGCAUCCAAUGAUUUUUUUUUUUUUUUAUUUUUUCAUUGGUUAAUUUUGUUAUUAUCAGGCCAUUUGAGAGGAGAUUUUUUAUUUGACUAAAUAUAAAAAAAUAAUUAAAAAAAUAAAAAGUUAUUAACUCUCACAACGAACAUGUCAACAUUUGGGAGGCCUGCCUUUUUUACAGCACGAACAACGCCUUUUGACGGAAAAAACCCCCCUUCCACAAUGUGGUUGUUGGUGGCACGGUUUGUCACUGACGAUGCUUUCCCUCUCUUUUCUCUCUUCUCCACUCGAUUUUUGCGCCGACCAUAUAAAAUUUCAGAGUUGUCCUCUAAUUUACAAGAAUUUACACUUCGGUCCUUUUUUAUUUCUAAUUUUUUUUAUUGGUCCUUUUGUGCAAUUUUGACUUGUUAUCAAUUUCAUCAUUUAAUCCCAAUUUGUGAUAUGUUAUUGCUUCCAAUUUGAUUCUAAUUCUUUUGAUUGUUUUUUUGGUCAUUUUGUUAAGUUGUUUUUUCUUUUUAAUUUCACCAUUCAAUCAAAAUUUUCAUUUUAUUCUUUAUGACAAUUCUGAUCCGCAUUCUUUUGAUUGUUUUUUUAUCCUUUUGUUAAAUUGGUUUUUUUUUCAAUAAAAAAUAAAAUUAUUUUGUAUUUCAAUUUUGAUCCUCGUUUCUUUAAUGGUGCUAAAUUAAAAAGAAAAAGAAAAAAGGAUUUAGCUAAUCCGAACUCGUUCAUCCAUCAGAUACCAAGGGCAAAGUUCAAAACACAUCAUUGUUUGACAAUCAUUCAUAUCCAGCAUAAUAGGAUUAUGAUUCUCACCCAAGCCAGCAUGCCACCUCAUAGAAGAUAAACUACACAUGAUCCCACCUCCAUAGCAUUGCACUUUUUUUUCCCUUUUUUCAGCUUCCCCACCUCCCUCUCCCCCUCUUUUUGGUUGGACCUCCCUCGUAAAUUUAGGUCAUACCAGUGAGCAACAUCACAUUCUUCCCACAAUUUCAAAAAAGUACAUAUUCUUUUACAAGAUGAUACUUCGGAUCUUCAAAUAUUCAAUCCAAAUCAUGCUUUCACAUAUGAAAUGUCAUCAACCAUGUCUAGGUAAUCAUCAUUUACAGCUUCAUUAUUAUUGAACAUGAAAGAUCAGGUUUCCACACUAUCCAUAAGGUUAUCUCUGAUUUCUGCAAACACAUGAAUCAAGCUUCUAUAAUCAUAUUUAAAUACUUGCAGCAUCCAGAAACAUUUCAAAAACAUAGAGCCAGAAUAGGAAACACAUGCUAUAUAAGUACAGAUAUAGUUAUAGAAGAAAUUUCACUGGCCAACGGUCAAAGAAGAAUACCUCAUUACGCGAUAAAGAGGGCGAUACCACAUAACAUAGCCUCCAGGAACCCCUGAUAUGAAGUAGAUGAUAGCAAGAAACCAAAUUGUUGGACCUAGAAAAGAAAACGAGCUUAGACAAACAGGUAAUGUGAUCAUGCACUAUAUAUGUUGUAACCCAAUUUUGGAUUCACCAAGUUUUUCUCGAAUGUUGUUUUAUUUCUAUUAUUAUUUAAAAAAAAUCCAAAAAAAAUAAAAAAGGUUUAAAAUUCAAAAAAAUAUUUUUUUUUCUCGAGUCAACCGCAUCUUUUUAUCAAAACCGAGUUCACCGGGUCAAUACGGGUCAAACCAUGUCGACCUUGGUAAAAAAAUGAGUUUUCAGGCUGUUUCGGGUCAAAACCGUCAUUUUCGGCCAAGACCGAGUUCACCGGGUCGAUACGGGUCUAAUCAUGUCGAUCGGGAUAAAAAUGAGUUUCAGGUCAUUUUGGGUCAAAACUGUUAUUUUUUGGUCAAAACCCGGUUCACCGGGUUGAUACCCAUUGAAAGUUUUUUUUUUAAUGUUUUGACAUAAUUUUCGGUAAUUAAAAUUGAUUUUUAGCGGUUGAGUCGGGCUUUUUCUAAUACUGAUUUGAGUUUUUAAUUUUAUCUAUGUAAAUAUUUAUUAUUAUAUAUAAUAAAACAAAAACUUUUUUGUCAUAUUAGGCAUAUUAGGUAAUGUUAGGCAGGGACUUUUUUUUCUUACAAUUAGGCAACAAUUUAGGCAGAAAUCAACUUUUAUGUUACUGUUCACUGGCUAUAAAUAGGCAGUGAGCAUCGCCAGAAAAGGGGGGAGAAAAAAAAAAAAAAAGGAGGGGGACGGGAGGACAAAGACAGAGAAGAAGAGAAAGACUUGUUACUGUACACAUUUUUUUAGUUUUUCUUCACAGGAGUAGGAUAUAUUUUUUAAAAAAAACAAUUUAAAAAAUACCAAAUAUAUCCCGACUCAUCUCAGCCAUUGAAAUAAUCCAAGACUCAAUCCCGUUGUGCCACGUCAUCCGGUGUACCGAGCUUUCGGUGCACCGCGUCACACCGGAUCUAAACCCAGACUCAUCCAGACCGUCUGAUCGACCUCAGAUCUAGCCAAUCACAGCCAUCCGAUCAUUCCAUCAGAGAUCCAACAGCGCACAGUGUUCAGUGGUACCGGUAUACCAUGCACGCGUUCACACCGUAGCCUAAUCUCGGACUCUCUCUCUCCUCUCGCCGGCGACACCCUCUCUCUCAUCCGAUCUCCACUUUCCGGCCGCCUCCAGCCUCCGAACCACCACAGAAAGGUUUCUCCCCUUCUGUAAAGCAAAAUCCCGGCGGUUUUAACCGUUUUCUCCGCCUCAUCUGGCCGGAAAAAGGCCGCGAUCCUCGCCGGCCACCGAAGCUUCAAGUCGUCGAUUCUCCCUCGUCAACCAUCAACGGACGUCGAGACCACCACCAUCAGAAUCCUCUCCCUCAGAUCUACCAGGAUCGACGGUUCGUUUCCCAGAAAGCUCGCCGGAAAAUUUCGCCAGUGCCAACAGUAGCCGCGCGUGAGCUACACGCGCCGACAGUGGCAUUUUUGUAAAUUCCUGAGAAAUCCGAGGGUAUUUCAGUCUUUUACCUAUACAGGGUUACUCAGGUAAUUUUUUUUUUUUGGAUUCCUAACAUUUUUUUUUAUGUAAAUAUUUGUAAAUUUUUAUUGCAUGUUGUAAAACAAAAACAAGUAUAAAAAGAAUAACGACGUGGGUCCAACGCCCAUCCCGUCAUGUUAUCGUUUGUGGGUUCAAAGCCCAAUUUUCAAAUAUAGUUAUACCCAUAUCUCAACAAUAUCAAAAUAUUUGUUUUUAUAAACAAAUAUUGUUUGUGGACACGUCUCUUUUUAUAGAAAAGGACCGAUGUCAAAUAAAAAGUUUAAAUACCAAACAAAUAUGGAUUAUGUCCAUAAUUUUGUUUUUUCGGACGUAAAUCUCCUUUUUAGGGCUAAACGUUGAUAUCUUAGACGAGUCUUCUAUUUUUAGGGACUGAUGUCAUUUUUAACGUGUCUCCUAUUUUUUAGGGACCGACGUUAACUAUUUAUAUAUAUAAAAAAACAAAAUUGCAAAUAAGCUCAAAAUAUAAUAGCAUUUGAAUCAAAUAUAAAAAUACACGAGUAAGGGUAACCUUUCUUUUGAAAGGAUGUUUUAAGGGUGGUGUCUACCUUCCCUUAAUCAUAACUAACCCAGUACCUGAAUCUCUGGAACCAGUGUUUAAUUUGGGAUUUCUAGUUCCCUCAAAUUACUAGAUGGCGACUCCAAUAAAACUUAAUUUCCCCAACCAAUAAAAAAUCUUUUUGUUAAAUAACAAAAUGAGCGGAGCCGUCGCCCGACGUCGUGUAUCGACAAUAUAUGUUGAAUGGAUUUGCACCAACCUCCCCUUUUAUCCAGGCUGUGGUAACAGCUACAAUAUUCCAUGAAAGACAGACAAAUAAACCUGCAAUUUCAUGAUAGUAAGUUACCCCACAGCUGAUAGUUGUUUGUGUUAAAACAUUUCUCAAAUUGAUCCAUCUCUACCCAACUAAACCAAACUGUUUUACACAAUUUGAUCUACAGGAUCGAUCACAGGAAUGACCUAAACCCAACUAAACAAAAUGAAAUGCUGACAAUUAAGAUGCAUCGUCAUGAAAAUGCAACAGUUAGAAAAUCUUGUCUCCUGAUUCUCGCUAACAAGACUGAGACUUGAAGAACAACCUAACAAAAUUGACUAUCAAGGAGACAAGGACAGCAAACAAUAAAAUAUGACAAGUGUUGGGAUAUUUCCAGAACUCAAACACACACAAUUUACGUGGUUCUAGCUUUCUUGGUCGUAAGGUCCUGCCAACCUUCAAGAACCUGACCUUCUUCUGUUUUCCAAGAACACAGCUUUCACAAAUGUCUAGAUCGACAUUUUUUAACUCUGGCAGCUUUCCCUUCGACUGAAGUAUCUUCAUCCCCUUUUGACUCAUAUGGCCAAGUCUACAAUGCCAUAGAUGUGCUUGAUUUUCUGCUUCAGUUGAGGCAAUGAUGUCUGCAAAUCUUGUGGUCAUAUACAGGGUGCCGGUUUUAUUUCCACGAGCUAAAACCAUUGCUCCCUUUGAUACUUUCCACAUUCCUCCAGCAAAAAGUAUUGAAUGACCACUAUCAUCAAGUUGUCCGACAGAGAUCAACUUCUUCUUUAAUUCAGAAACAUGCCUUACGUUCUGCAAGGUCCAUAUAGAUCCAUUCAUUGUCUUGAUUUGCACAUCUCCUAUACCCACAAUAUUCAGUGGUGUUCCAUCGGCCAGAUAGACUACACCGUGAUCUCCUCCAACAUAAUUUUGCAGCAUUUCAUUGUAUGGCGUACAGUGGAAUGAAAGCAUCUUGUACCUCAUCUGUGGUAGCGUUUGCAGAGUCAGCUUCAGGUUUCUUCGGUUUUGUGCAAUUCCUACUGAAAUGACCAGGUUUGCCACAAUUCCAACAUUCAACCUGCUUUCUGGAUCCAAACUUGCUUUUACUUCUGUAUCUGGAUUUUGAUCUGCCUCUGGAUGAGCCUCUAUCUUGUCUCCUCCCUCGAGUGUUGAUGUUGAGAGCUGAUCCUGAGCUUGAACUUUCACCCGAGUCUUUUCUUCGCACUUCUUUAGCCAAAAUCAAGUCUCGAAUGUCAUCAUACUUCAGUUUGGAUUUUCCAGCUGAAUUGCUCACGGCUGUCCUCAUGCCUUCCCAACUGCUUGGAAGUGAAGCUAGCAAGAUGAGUGCACAAAUCUCAUCAUCAAACUCAAUCGCAACAGAUGAUAAUUGAUUUGUGAUGGUAUUAAAGUUGUUGAGGUGUUGUGUCACAGAAGUGUUUUCGACCAUCUUCAAGUUGGACAACUUUUUCAUCAGGUGCACUUUAUUAUUUGCUGAUGGCUUCUCAUACAUCCCAGACAAGGCUUCCAUCAAUUUUGCAGUGGAUUUUUCUUUCGUAACAUUGUGAGCAACUCUUCUUGAUAACGAUAGCCGGAUAAUGCCCAGAACUUGUCUAUCAAGAAGUUGCCAUUCUUCUGCUUCCAUCUUUUCUGGUUUGCUUCCCAAUAAGGGAAGAUGAAGUUUCUUCCCAUAUAGAUAAUCUUCAAUUUGCAUUUUCCAGUAUCCAAAAUCUGUUCCGUCAAAUUUUUCAAUUCCAGCAGCCUUUAUUUCAUCUGCCAUUUUUACCACUUCUCCGAUUCGAAUUUCCCAAAUCUGACCUUACAGAUGUGUCCAGAACGGCCAAAAACCUUGGAAAUGACACUGAGAUCACCCCAAUCGGACUUCGGAUGGCUCAGAUUUUAGCAAUCAAAGUUUUGGAUUAACGGACGGUGCAGAUGCAGCCGCGUGUCAGCCAGAGUACCGCCUGCAUCGCACCGGAUAAAAACUCAGUAGCGGUUUUGAUGAAGCCACGUGUCAGCAGAUUAGACCCUGCAUCGCACCGGAUCAAAACUCAGUAAUGGUGCAGAUUUAGGCCACGUGGCAGCAGAUUAGAGUCUGCGUCGCACCAGAUCAAAACUCAAUAACGGUGCAGAUUAAGCCACGUGUCCGCAGAUUAGAGCCUGCGUCGCACCGGAUCAUAACUCCGUAACGGUGCAGAUUAAGCCACGUGUCAGAAGAUUAGAGCCUGCGGCACACCGGAGCAAAACUCAGUAUGAUGACGUGGCAGGUGACGUGGAUGUUGACCGCAUGGAUGUGCUGACGUGGCGGGUCAAACCCGACCCGUUUGCAGAAGCCGGGCGAAGAAGGAGCGUGGCGCGCGUACGGCACGUUGGUGCGCAUGGGCAGUCUGGACGUCGGCGCGUGUGGGCGCGUGCGGGCAUGCAGGACGUCGGUUCUUCGCCGGGGUUUCAACAGUGGAUUCGUCCGGUUGUCCUCUACACGAUGGUAUGUUCAAAAACACGUUUGGAGAACUUUGAUUUUUGAAUUUGGAUCAAACACACUCUUUGUCAAGAACAAGCUCUGAUACCAGUUGUUGGGAUAUUUCCAGAACUCAAACACACACAAUUUACGUGGUUCGGCAACUUGCCUACUCCACGGAGCUACUGGGUUGUAUUAAUUACUCAAAGAAACAAUACAACAACAAGAGGAGGAGAAUCUUCUCAACUCAACUCUACACUCAAGCUCUCUCUCUGUGUUUCUCUCUUUCUCUUCUUCUCACUGUGUUCUUCGUGCUCUCUGUGUUCUUCAUACACUACACAGCACACACACACACACACAGCUAUACAUAUACAAUGGAUGAGGGAAGGACAUCAUCAUUUAUGCCCACCGUUGCCUCCACUUUGUGUCCUCCACCAUGUGCAAAGUGGGGGAUUAGGAUUCCCACUUGCACAUGGUGGGGCUUGCUUGUCUCCAAUAAUUAACAACAAGUGGCCAUCAAAUAAAAUUUCCAAGAAGUAGAAUUUAAAACAUACCCAAAAAUGUUGUGAAUGCAACAUACUGAAUCUUCUGUAGGUGGAUUGGUAUUUCAUUUCCAAUGUCAUGAUGGAUAAUCGGAAAAAAUGGUGGCCAAUUCUUGUCCUCUAUUACAAUUCCAGCUGUCAAAAAAAAGAACAUUAUGUUAAACUAAAUAUCACCAUGCACAGCCUCAUUAUCAACAAAAUAAGCACCAAUAUGAUAAACAUACCACGUGCUAUUGCAUCUUCCUUCCGUUUUAGUUCCUGAAAAACAAAAGGAAAAUGGAUUCUAAAUUACCACGUGCUAUUGCAAUUUGCCAUGCGGGUCAACCCUAUAGCUCCUUUGGUUUUUUCCCAUGAUGUUACAGCACAAAAUACAAGUUUCCAAGUGACCAAGAGCAUUACAACUCGCCAUCAGCCCUAUAUUUUAUGAGACCAUUGUGUUCUUUCAUAGUCGAAGUUUCAUUUUCACAAACAAAAAUUAACCCAACAACAGAGAGGCCAGGUAACCUUUUCUAAUUCCUUGUUCAUUUCAAGGAUGAGCAUGGGUUCAAACCGUUCAUUUGAACUUAAAAAAUCCAACGAAACCGGAAUGAUAUGGAUUUUGCUGGAGCUAAAUUUAAGUUUCACUCAGAUUCAGGUGCAUUGCACCAAAAUUUCAUUGUCAAGAAUUACCCACAUAUAAUAAACAAAACAAUUGGCUAGCAGAUUUCUGCAAAAGCAAAGCUUGGUUGCAUGAUUUAAUGAACAAUGGAAUCACAAAUGAUUGACCAGAAGAAUGGAUUGUUCACAUUUCUUGCUACAGCUACCUUGAAGACUUCUCCGAGGUAUGUACUUGAGAUGUGGAUGUGAACAGUUAUUGUGUUAGCUCUCUGCAUUUGUUUACAGUUGAUGAUGCAUCUUCCAGUGUUGACAUUGUGGGAGAUUAAUACUUCAAAGCCUUACAUUCACAAGUUGAAUCCCAAGUUCUAUGUACCAAUUUGACUCAGUCACUGAUUGAUUCUUUGCUGGGGCGGUCUCUCCUUAUCAUGUCUGUUAGAUCCUGGACAACCUCAGACAUUGGUGGCCUGAAUUCUGGUUCAGACUGCAAGAUAUCAUUGUGGUUAGGUAAAGCUGAUCCUAUAUUUCGUUAUGUAAGGAAAAAAAUAUAUGACUACAACUAGAUGGCAUUCACUUGUUAAUGAUGAAUCAAGUCUUUGUGGAAACCAUAAAGAAACCAACAGUGCAAUUCUCACCUGAACACAUCGGGAAAUGAUAUCGGCAAAGUGUGAUGAAGAUUUGGCAGAGUAUUCUCCAUUAAGAGAGGGAUCAACCAUUUUUGACAAUGUGUCGAUGUCAUGGAGCUGGGGAUUGCCCAUUAUUGCCUGGCUUAGAUUGGAAAAAAAAAAAAUCCUAACACUACAAGAUUUCACAAUGUUACCGACGGAAAUAUUCCGUCGGUGUGUGACUGAGAGUCGUCGGUAACCUAUUUACCAACUAAAUUACCGACGGAAUAUGACCGGCGGAUUAUCUUUUGUCGGUGAUUCCACAUUCCAUCGCUAUAUCGAUCGAAAAUACAAAAAAAAAAAACAUUUCCCGACGGUUUUACAGACAGAAAUUGCACGCCAAAAAAAACAGUUUCCCCGCUUGAAAUAUACCGACGGAAAAUACUCCAUCGGUGAUAUAAUGUAUGACCGACGGACCAUAUCCGUUGGGAAAUUUGUCGGUGAAGGUUUGAAAUAUCGACCGAAUACAUCCGUCUGUAAAUUCGUCGGUACGUUUGGCAGCUACUGUCAAAUGCUGACGGAUUAUUUAUGUCGGUAACUCUGUCAGUGAGUGUAUGAAAUACCGACCGAAUGUAUCCGUCUGGAUAUGCGUCGGUGACGCUAAUACCAACGGAAGUAGUCCGUCAGUAAAGCCCUUUGUAAUUGUUUUUUUUAAUUUGUUUUUUAAAAUUAUUUAGAAUACAUUAAAAUGAUAUAAAUUAAUGGUAAUAAAAACCAAUUAUGCAAAUAAAAUUUAUAUUAAGCAUAAAAAACAAAAAAUGAAAGAUAAAUAAUAUUCAUUACAAAAUGAAUGUGUUUCAAAAAAACAUUAAACGAAAUUUUAAAUGUAAAUAAUGUUUAUUAAAAAUUAAUAUAAAGGAGGAGGAGGAGACUGGCUGUUAUUCGACCAAAAAGGAUUUGGCGAACAUGUUCCACCUUGUACCAUGUUCAUGACCAUUUGACGAAGCUCUUCAUAGGCCACUCUUUGUCGUUCAGACUCCACUCUGUGUUGUUCAGACUUCGCUCUUUGUUGUUUGGACGCCACUCUUUGUUGUUCUUUGAGUUGUGUGUACGCCUCUGAUAGGUGGUUGUACUUUUCGGUGAGCAGAGCCAUGUGUUGCUGCAAGGCCACACACUCCUUAGAUUGGGAGCUCGAUACUAAUUGGGAGCUCUCGACGGUUGAAGCAUUACGGGCCCACCGCAAGUUGUCGGCCGUAGUGUUGGAGAGCCCGUAAACCUGAUUUUUUUUGGGUCCACCUGACGAUCCAGCCUCGAUCCACAAAUCCUGAUCGAAUUCCGGAUGGGUCAAAGGAUCGUCCUCGUAUCUCUCCCUCAACCGAUUAUUAUAGAUCUCCUGAAAAUAAAAAAAGUAAUCAUUGUAUUCAAUUCAAUAAACAUAAUAAUAACUUACAAAAUAAAAUGGUUGAACAAAUAUACUAUAAAAUAUUGAGCACGGUUGUCAACGAACUGUUGCACCCUCUUUUGGCGGUCUUGACUCCGCACGUGCGUCUCCACAAACAACUCCAUAUGGCUCGGCUCACGUCCAAGAGACGUAGCCCAUAAUGAAAAAAAUUUAUUAACAACAAAUUAAUUGAACGAUAUUUUUCAUUUAAAUUAAUCUUACCAGCCGUUUUGCAUGUGCAGCAAACGGAACGGAGCCGCCGGUAUGCGUUGUCACCGAGCCAUGAAUUGGCCAAUUCCGGUUGCCAGCAGCGGACUGUGAGCGUCGUGUGAACCACUCAGACGUCACGUGCUGAAGAUAGUGCGGCCAUUAUCUUCUAGGAUGUAUAUCGGUUUGAAAUCCCUCCAAACCGCAACAUCAUUCCAACCUUGGAACCCCUUAUCCCUCGUAGUUUUUUUUGCCUUUUUUUGGGAUUCGUACCAAAAAUCACGCAACCUACUUCAUGCAAGCAAUAUUACAUUUCGAAACAUAAUUUUUUUUGUAAAAAAAAAGUUGUAUUGUUUUCGAUGUUACCUAGUUGCCAUGGGAUUUUCCCACACCCUCCUCACAACAGUGUUAUGUUCCUCGUUCCAGCAAAAUCGAUUCUGUGUAUAAAAAAAUAAUUUUUUAAAAUGUUAAUAAUUUAUUUACAAUUAUAUUAAGAAUUUAUUAGAAAUAAGCUGAAAAUUAUAUAUUAACACGAACCUGAAAUCUGAAAAACCAUGCAUUGAUUUGAGGCAUCCAUUCAGGAUGCCUGGAUAUCCGACUCCAUUAAAAUAAUGUAAUCUCCAUCGACGAUUUAAAUGCCAAUGAUAUUUCUCGAGUGGCCUCAAUGUUUGUGAACCUGAAAAGAAAUGAAAUUAAUUAAAUAGUGACUUCAUAAAUUAUGUUUUAAAUUUGUUUUUAAAAAAAAAAACUAAAACCUUAACAAACUUACAUUGAAAGAUCGUCCUUCCACUGUGCCUCGUACUUACUGGUAAAUUGAUUCCGCUGUGAAGGCACGUCGCUUCUGCGCUGUGAAACAACGCUAGAAGAGGUAGCAUCGGUUGACGACGCAAGUGGUGUAGGUGCCUCUUCUUGAGAGGCACCUAAGGAAUUAUCAUCCUCGCUGCUAAACGAACUUGAUGCGAACGAACGUGAAGCUCUGGUUUUCAUUCUGCGCAUCUAACCAAUUUUAUAUAAAUAAUUAUAUAAUUAAAUUCAAAUGUUAAAAAAAAUUCGGCAGUACCUCCCCUAUACUGGAUACUACCCAAAUCCAAAAACCUGCAAAUAUUAACAAUAGCCACAACCAAUUGACCCAAUCUAUACUAAUUAUUCCAACAUAUUCAAUUACUAAUCCUAAGGUAAAUUCAACAUUAACAAUUACAAUUCAACAAAUUCUUCAAUAAUUAUGCCAAUACAACAAAACAAUAAAUUCAAAAUAAAUAGAAACAAUUAAACACAAAUCAUGCAAUAAUAGAGUAAAAUUAAUAAUUCUUCCAACAUAUUCAAUUACUAAUUCUAUGGUAAAUUCAACAUUAACAAUAUUAAUUCAACAAAUUAUUAAAUAAUUAUGCCAAUACAACAAUAAAAUAUAUUCAAUAAAUUAAAAAAGAAUUAUAGCCUAACAAUUAAAAUCAAUGGAAACAAUUAAACACAAAUCAUGCAAUAAUAUAAAAAAAUUACUAAUUAUUCCAACAUAUCCAAUUACUAAUUCUAAGGUAAAUUCAACAUUAACAAUUAUAAUUCAACAAAUUAUUCAAUAAUUAUGUCAAUACAACAAUAAAAUAUAUUCAAUAAAUUAAAAACAAAUUAUAAACUAACAAUUAAAAGCAAUGGAAAUAAUUAAACACAAAUCAUGCAAUAAUAGAGUAAAAUUACUAAUUAUUCCAACAUAUGCAAUUACUAAUUCUAAGGUAAAUUCAACAUUAACAACAAAUAUUCAACAAAUUAACUAAUAACAACUAUGCCGACACAACAAUAAAAAAUAUUCAAAAAAUUCAAAAAAAAAAAACUAUAGACUUUAGGAAAGAAAUAUACAUACCUUAAUAAUGCGUUGAAUUCAAAACUUUAUCUACAUUACAAAAAAAUACACCAAAACAACAAAAUAACAAAAAUAAAAACAACUACAAAAAAAAUAAAAUCGAAGAAAACACAUACCUUUUAAUGUGAUGAAGAUUCACAACAACAAAUCUUGCUAGAGAUUCUAGGUGAAAGCCUUGAAGGAUUAAGAGGAAAAAAAUUGAAAUUUUGAGGUGAAAAACGAAGGAGAAGAAAAAAUGAACCGAAGUGGCAGGCACUGGAAUUUAUAGGGCAGAUUUCCGGACGGAUUCACCGACGGCAAUUAAAAUUUUUUUUUUUUUUAAGUCCGUCGGUAAUUUUUGAAUUUCACACUAGAAUUUUUAAUUACCCUCCAUAUUUUUCGCGGUCCGUCGGUAAGCUGACAUGGUCAGAGAUGCAUUCAAUUCACACCCUUUGGAAUUCGCACAUUCCGUCAGUAUUUGUGUCGGUAAAAUUUACCCACCAACAAAUUACAGACGGAAGUAUUUUGUCGGUAUCAGCGUCGAUAACAUCGUCGGUACUGACGUUAGUGAUUAUGGCAUUUUUUUGUAAUUAUUUUUGAACUCUCUGUGAGAUGCCGACGGAUAGUGGUCCGUCGGUAUGGAUGUCGGUGAUUCUAGCAUUUUGUUGUAAUUAUUUUUUAACUCUCUGUGAGAUGCCGACGGACAACGAUCCGUCGGUAUGGACGUCGGUGAUUGUGGUAUUUUGUUGUAAUUAUUUUCAAAUUUGUGAGAUGCCGACGGACAAUGGUCCGUCGGUAUGGACAUCGGUGAAUGUUCAAUGUACAAGAGAUGUUGUGUUUGUAUUUUCUAUUUACCUUCCUGCAAAAAAUUCAAUGAUAAAUUGUCCAUCGCAAAACAAUAGCAACAGUGCUUCAACAAUAAAUAUAUAUUUCGUGUUACAAAACAUAUCAUCCAUAAUGUAAAUUACAUGAAGAAAAGGGUUUUACACAGGGCUUCGUUUUGAUAGUUAGUCAGAAUUAUCUUCUUCUUCGUCAUCAAUUGAAUAGUCAUCACCUUCAUCGCAAUCUUCAAUAUGGAUAUCAUCUUCUUCAUCGACAUUUGCUUGUCUGCUAUAGCUCAAAACAACGUUCAACUCCUCUACGUCAACAUCAACAAGACUAUCAUCGGAAACACGAAAAUCUGAAUUUUCUUCCAAUUCAAUCGAAGGAGCAACUCAAUAUGAUUCAACCAACUCACUAACUUGAAAGACUUCAUCCUGCACACUUGUGUCUUCGUUCUCAUCCUGAACAACCUCGUCACGACCCCGUGGUUUCGUUUUUAAAAUGGACAACCAAUCAACUCUUGAUCGAUCCUUUCUAAAUAAAGGGGUGUAUGUGUAAUAAACUUGUUGACAUUGCUUUGUGAAAACAAAGACAUCGUUUAUAUUGUGGAGUCUAGCUUUUGAGUUGAUUUCGACCAUACCAUAGUGUGAAUCAACUCUGAUUCCUCUGUCCGUCAUGUCAUACCAAUAGCAUUUGAAUAAAAACACUUUAUUCUGCUCGCUAUGAUAUUGUAGUUCGAUGACCUCUUCUAAUCUACCAUAGUAGUCAACUUCUAACUCACUACUUGUGGAUCCUUCAGUUGUAUGUCUUUCUUCCUUGUCCGUAUUCUUCAGUAUGGAAAACAUAUCCAUUAACAAAAUACACAUUGUAGCACUUAACUUUUUUCUUUCAGGCCCGAGGCUUAGUCAAGACAAUGACUUAGACGCACUCCUUCCCAUUUGAUAAACCUUGUAUAUAUGUAAUGUACAUCAAUAAACGGUAAAUGAAUGAGAAUCUUGUAAUGACAUGCAUACGUACAGUAAUUUUGCAAGUUAGAAUGAGUUUGUGAUAGUGCUUACAUGUGUUCUGAACCAUGUGACAAAUUGUUCAUCUUGUAAUUGAAAGAUGUGGGAGUCGGUCAGUUGCGAGUUAUUGGAGAGAAAAUAUUGUCGAUGCUGCCUGCAAGUGAUAAUGAGUGUAUGAUAUCACAAUAUAUAAUUAGCAGUAUAUUACUGACAAAGUUUAAUUAGUAUUACACAUAUAUAAACUUACUGAAUAAAUGGUCUCAGCUCAUCACAGUUAAAUAAAACAUAGUUGUGUGCUUGUUUGAAUUCUAUUUCCGACAAAUAUCUUCCUCUUACGGCAUUUUUAGGUGUGGGUCGUCCAGUAUUGGAGAAUAUUGACAAGUUCCCACUGGAAGGCACUUCACCGCCAUCAUCAUGCCGUGGAACGUGAAUGAUUCUUGUUCUCAGAUGAGGUUCAAAAUAGUACGAGAUAAAUGUUGAGAUCUCUUCAACAAUAUAGGCCUCAGAUAUCGAAGCCUCUACAUGCGCCUUGUUCUUAACCUUUUUCUUGAGAUUAAACAAGUACCUGCAUUGAAUUACAAUUCAAGUAUUUCCAAUUAAGAAAAACAUAAAAUACUUUAGAUAUGAAUUCCAUUGCAACUGUAAUAUCUCACCGUUCGAAUGGGUACAUCCAUCUAUACUGGACCGGUCCUCCAGCUUUUGCCUCGAACGGUAGAUGUAUAGGGAGAUGCUCCAUUGAGUCAAAAAAUGGAGGGAAUAUCAUCUCAAGUUUGCAUAGUGUCUCGAUGAUAUUCGUUUGAAGCCUCUCAAUGUGCUCAACAUUCAACUUGCUGGAGCAUAUAUCUCUGAAGAAAUGACUGAUCUCGUCAGUGCAUCCCAUAUUCCCUUUGGCAACAAAUCACGAAAAGCUAAUGGGAUGAGUGUUUGCAUAAACACGUGGCAGUCAUGACUCUUCAUUCCAUACAAUCUGCAGUCCUCUAUGUUAACAAGCCUUGAUAUGUUCGAUGCAUGUCCAUCCGGGAAAACGCAGACUCUUAAGCCAUUUGUAGACUAGCAGUUGUGCGUUUUUCUCUAACACGAAGCUUGCCCUUGGUUUUGACCCGUGACUCCUCAUAAACCAACUCCAUAUUUUUACGGUUACAGUAUAAAGCUAUAUCCAAUCUAGCCUUCAUGUUGUCCUUUGUCUUCCUCUUCACAUCCAUGACGGUGUUGAAAAUAUUCUCAAACACGUUCUUUUCGAUGUGCAUGACGUCAAGGUUAUGGCGGAGAAGGUUGGUCUUCCAAUAAGGAAGCUCCCAAAAGAUACUUCGCUUUACCCAAUUAUGGGUCAAACCAAAACCAGGAAACUUUUGCUUACCUGAUUGAAGGUCAAACACAAUGUCACUGUACUCUGAUACAACAUGAUGCAAUUAUUCACCAGAAAGACGCGGGGAUGCAACAUCUUUUUCAACUCUGCUAACAAAGAAAUCUUUUCUAGUUCUUUCUGAACCUGUGAUUAAGUGGCAAAAAGUGACGGUGACAGUCAAAAAAAGAAACUUUACCUCUGUUUGCUAGCGUGAAUGCCUUGUUGUUUUCCAUGUAGUAUGGACAUGCGAGUUUCCCAUGCGUGCUCCAACCAAAAAGCAUUUCAUAAGCUGGAAAAUCAUUGAUAGUCCACAUCAAAGCCGCCUUCAUAAGGAAAUUUUCUUUCCUCGAUAUAUCAUAAGUCAAAGCUCCGGAGGACCACAACUGCGCAACUCAUCAAUCAACGGUCCAAGACAAACAUCUAUAUUUCACCCCGGGCUGCUUGAUAAAAACAUGAACUCCGGCCUCAUACACAUUCCUGGUGGCAAGUUAUAAACUGUGAGUAUGACCGGCCAACAAGAAUAGGGAGCAGCAAAUGACCCAAAUGGGUUCAAUCCGUCUGUACACAACCCAAGACGGGCAUUCCUUGAUUCAGCUAAAAAGUCAGGAUGCACACUGUUAAAGUGUUUCCACGCUUCGUUGUUAGAAGGAUGCACCAUCACACCAUCAACCGCAUCACGUGUUUGGGCCAUGUCAUGUGCUCAACAGUCCUUGGUGACAUGAAUAACCUCUGCAGUCUAGGUGUGAUCAGGAAAUAUCUAAGUUUUUUAUACGCCACUAGAGUCUUUCCCCUGCCAGUUCUGGGCAUGUCAUGCUCUCGGUCAUCUCAGCAUUUUAAAGGUAGUAUAACAUGCAGAAGUUAGGGCACAUGUCAAUUUUCUGGUAUCCUAAACCGAGGGGUUUCAUCAUGGACUUCGUAGCAUAGAAAUUCUCUUCCAGCCUGUUCCCUUCAGGUAAAAAUGCUUCUUUCCCAAUCAAUAAUUUUGUCAUACCCAGCCUCACUCAACCCGUGAUCUGACUUGAUGGUGAACACAUGUGCCACGGCCGAUAAUUUAAUGUGGCUUGUGCAGCCAUCCCAUAAUGGUUCAUUAGAAUCUUUCAACAAAUCAAAAAAACCUAGCUGCCUCUAUAUUAGGUUCUUCUUCUAUGAUUGUACAUUGACUGACAUUACCUUGAUUCAUUCUCAUUGCAUCCAUAACCAUAUUUCUGUAAGGAUUAGUGUUAUCAUUUGCCACUUCAUGCACGUUGCUAGCACUAGAAGUUAACCCAACCACCGUUUCUCUCAUUCUCCUAUUACUAACAAAUAGCUCUCCAUGUGCAUACCAACACUGGUAAUCCUCCAUAAACCCUUUGUGUAGAAGAUACAUCAUUACAACAUCUGAAUGCAGAUACUUUUUAUUUUGACAUUUCAUGCAUGGACACCUAAUACCGCCUCCAGUAAAAUUUCUGGGAAUAGAUGUUGCAAAAUUAAUAAAACCCUGAACCCCGUUACAAUAAUCCAUCCUUCACAAUCCUUGGGGUGAAUCUAGAUACAUCCAUGAAUGAUCAUCCAUGACUUCUAUCGAACCUCUAUAAAAUUAUGAUGACAUCAUGUAUUAAUUAACUAAGUUAGGUAAAUAAACUUGCAAAAAUAUUACUUUACCUCGAGAUUAUCCAACAAACCAAUCACAACUUCUCAUAAAUAUUAAAUAUUCAUUAUCAUUUAUCAACGUCCAUACAAAUUAAUAUAUAUAAAUUAAUAGAAAUUACCACUCUGCAAUACCAUCGAUAAAACUUAAAAAAAACUCAUUAAGCAAGCUAUUAAUUAUUUCAAAACAGAACAUGUAAUUCGGUAAUUCCACAAAGUUUUAACAAUUUACAAACAAAUACAAUCUUACAAAAUCUAAAACAAACCAUAACAGGUAUAAAAUUAUACAUUCAUAUACUACAAGUUUGUUUGAGAAAUAACAAUAAAACAUUUACAUCUACUAAUAAAAAUACAUAUACUAAAAAAACAAUAAAAUUGACAUUUAAAUGUUAAAAUUUAAACAGAUAAAAUUACUUAUAAAAAAUGAUAAAAUCCAUCGGUAAAUCAGAACACGAAUGUUGUGACCACAAAACUUCAAGAAAUACAACUUGUUGUGCUGAGAUGAGGAAGAAUUUUGUUUGGGUGCGAGGGGUGGUGUUGGCUAGUUAUUUGCAGAUGGGGAGAGUUAGGAUUAGGAAGACGAAGGAGAAAUGGGGGAGGAGAGGGUCGGCAGAGGGGCCAUAUAUUAACUUUUUCUGACGGAUUCACAAACGGAUUAAACCCGUCGGUGAAUCCGUCGGCUAUUCUGACGGGAAAAUCGACACAUCACCGCACAGACCUACUUUUCAAAUACCUCGGUGAUUCCAUCGGUAUGGUUAACGGUGAACUGGUCAUGUCACCCGUACGGAUCUGCCAUUUCAAAUCCCUCGGUGAUUCCAUCGGUAUUUUUUACAGUGAACCGGUCCCGUCACCCGUACGUACGGGUCACCCGUUUCGAAUCCGUCAGUGACUUCGUCGGUAUUUUUUAUGGUGCACCCAUCCCGUCACCCGUACGAGUCACCCGUUUUGAAUCCGUCGGUGAUUCUAUCGGAAAUAUCACCCGCCAAAACCUCCACGUCAAGGACCCGCCCUUUUUUUCUAAAUUCUAAAAUUUUUAUCCGUAAUUCGGUCGGUAAUUACCGACGGACUACAACCGUCAGUAAUUACCAACCAAAUUACAGACGGAAAAAUUCCGUCGAUAAUUUCGACCUCAAAUUACCGACAAAAAUAUUAUGUCGGUGAUUCCCUUGCUAUUAAGCGAAUUUCUGGUAGUGAUAAAUGGUUGAGACUGGCCGAGUAGAAUUGUUAGGAUGAUGCUGGACGUGGUGUUAUUACUUGGUAUUGAUCAGCUAGAGCUAGUACAUGGGUCACUAUUAACUAGAGUGGUAUUGUUGAUUAGUGUCCAGGAAUUACUAAAGACGUUUGUCGCACCCCAAAAAAUAAAAAAUCAAAUUCAUCAAUUGCGGGUUCGACUGGCGAUUUUUUUUUAUUUUUGGUUCUUUGGAGUCGCCACCUAGUAUUUUGGUCACUAGGAACCUAACUGGUCUCAGAGAUUGGGUACGGAGACUGGUUGCGUAAAGGGAGGUAUUAGCACCCCCAAAUACGCCCUACCUAAGGUAAGCUGCAUUGUUUAUUGUCUGAAAAACUAAAUGUUGUGUGUUUUCCUAGUUGUUGAUCUGUCUAUAGUUCAGAAAAAUCCUCCUCAGUAAGAAGGUCUUUUAUCUUAUCGGGUAAAAAUCCUAAACGUUCUAAAGUUCCAUCAAAAUUUUAUUAAUAAUACAAUACGUUUUACGUAUAAAUUCGUAAUCCCAAAUACUAAAAUAAAACAAAAAGAUGUUUUAGAAUUUUUGAAAUAUUGGCCUAGUUCUCAUGGCUUGAAUAAACUGGUUAUUAAAGCCAAAAUGCAUGUUAAUACAUAUAUUGUUUUUGAAAAUUUUCUUUGUUGUAUGAAAAUAUGAUGUUAUAAUAUUUAUGUAUAUAUAUUGGAGAGACUAGGCCCAAACCAAACUGGGCCGGACCCAGCCCUAACAGUCGUUGGGCCGACCUCGGCCCAACCGGUACUGGGCCGACCUCGGCCCAGAAGGCACUGGGCCGACCUCGGCCCAGAAACUAAUUAACCUCGGUCUAGGCCGGACCCGGCCCAGACCGCCGAACUGGGCCAGAUCCCUCUGGCCCGUCCACAUAACUCUGGGCCAGACACAAUCUGGCCCAGAGAAAGAAAAAAAAAGAAAACACGGGGGGGGGAAUUAAUUCCCCCCCCCCGCCUCCUGCAUGCAGAACAAUUCUGCAUGCAGGAGGCAAAACAUAUACAUAUUAACAAAAAAAAUGCAGGGGGAGGAGAGGAGGCGUACCUGGUGCUGGCGGAGCUGCGAUGGUGGUGGCAGUGUCCUCGCUUCACGGACGGCGGCUUCUCUCUCCUCUGUUACAGGGUUUCUCUCUCUUCCUCUCUCUCUUCGUUUUUUUUUUUUUUGUUUCGGGGUUCCUCUCUUUCUCUCUUUUUUUUCGUGUUAUUCUUUUCUCUUCCCCUCUAUCUCGCUGGUUCUAUCUCUCUCUUCGGCCUCGUCUCCCUCUUCGGUCUCCUCUCUCUCCUCUCGGCCUCUCUCUAUUUAUAAGCAAAAAGGAAACGGCGUGCCUUCGUUAGUGCGCCUUCAAUCACGCAACGGCUGGUCGGCCAUUCUUGCUUUCGGUGGUGGUGGUGGGGACGAGGAGAGGAGAGGCGGGAAGUUUUGAAAUUUUUCCUUUUUUUUUUUUCUUUCGUUUCUGUUCUGUUGAAACGGGGGAGGAGGAAGAUGAACAGUGUCGUUCAAAACGACACCGUUCUGAUCUUCCUCUUUUUUUUUUCUUUUUUUUUUUAAUAUAUAUAUGAAACGGCGUCGUUUUGGGUAAAACGCGUCGUUUCAUUUAAACGGCUAAACUUCAAAUCAGUCCUCCAAAUUCGGUCCCCGUCCCUCUUGUUGGCCGCCUUUUUCACUUUGGUCCUUGGCCUCUGAUUUAUGCAAUUGAGCCCCUAAUUGAUCAAUAAACUUCCAAUUUCUUCAAUUAAGCCCCUGAAACAAAAAUUAGCAGCCCCUCCAUUUACGCGCCUCUUCCAAUUUGGUCCCUGGUUUCGGAUUUUCUUAAUUAAAUCCCUAAUUGGCCCUUAAACUUCAAUAUUUAUGCAAUUGAGCCCCUGAUUUGACCCAAUAAAUUCCUAAAAAAUAUAUUUUGGCCCCAGAACUUAAAUUUCUCCAAAUUAAAGCCCAAAUUGACUUAAAAAUCAAUUUUUCUUGGAAUCAAAUCUUCUAUAUUCAAAUAAAAAUCCAAUUAAGUCCUAAAAAUCCAACUAAGCCCAUAAAAUCCAAUUAAGCCCAUAAAAAUCCAAAUUUGGCUUUUCUCCCUAAAAUUCAAAAUUUUCAUUCUCAAUAGGGCUUUCAUCCUUCAAGAAUAUACUGUAAAAAAUUCAAUCCUUGUAUUUUUAAAUUCCUUGACCAAUUUUCUGACUGCUUUCCGGACGCUUCUGCUUCCGGUUAUUUUCCUAACCUCUUUUGGCUAUUUAUUUUAUUUUUCAGGGGGACCCAAAAAUGGGUUACAACAGAUGCCCCCUCUUUAUAAUACUUACGGAGCAUGGGUUUUGCGCAGUAAGUGUUAUAAAGAUAAACCCAAAACGGAACUCCUGAAACUGAUCUGGUCGAAGCUUGAUUGAUCUGAAACUUUGUCCUUUACAACAAUCCUCCUUAGCCCAAAAACUAUGAUCAAAACUUAGCCAUCUCGAGAUCCUUAUCCAGCAGUCCUCUGAAUUCUUACUUUAGUUUGAUCAACAUGGAAAUCCAUCCGAGAUCCUAUCUAGUGAUCUUCUUUAACCUGGAAUCCCAUCCGGCGAUUCCUUUACUCAUAACCAAUACAAAAAUGUGUGCGUGGUCUCAUUAUGAUGGGUGACCUGCCCGAAAAAAUAUGGUCUCAUUGUGAUGGGUGACCUACCCAAGAAAAAAAAAAAAGGAAUGGUCUCAUUGUAUGGGUGACCUACCCAGAAAAAUAAUGGUCUCAUUGUAUGGGUGACCUACCCAAGAUAAUGGUCUCAUUGUAUGGGUGACCUACCCAAAAAAUAAUGGUCUCAUUGUAUGGGUGACCUACCCAAGAAAAAUGAUGGUCUCAUUGUAUGGGUGACCUACCCAAGAAAAAUGAUGGUCUCAUUGUAUGGGUGACCUACCCCAGAAAAAUAAUGGUCUCAUUGUACGGGUGACCUACCCAAGAAAAAUGAUGGAGAAUGGUCUCAUUGUAUGGGUGACCUACCCAGGAAAAAUGAUGGUCUCAUUGUAUGGGUGACCUACCCAAGAAAAAUGAUGGUCUCAUUGUAUGGAUGACCUACCCCAGAAAAAUAAUGGUCUCAUUGUACGGGUGACCUACCCAAGAAAAAUGAUGGUCUCAUUGUAUGGGUGACUAACCCAAGGGGAAUAAUUCUUAGUAAACUCCAUGCUUUUCUAAGAAAUGGUUUCAAUAUAAGGUCCCUUCUGGCGACCUUCCUUGAUGAAUGUCGAAGUACGAGAUCCCUUCUAGCGAUCUCAAAUAACUUGGAAUCCCAUCUGGCGAUUCCUUUUAUUCAAAGCUGAAAUAUUAGGUCCCUUUUGGCGACCCUUAUCGAAAUAUGAGAUCCCUUCUAGCGAUCUUCUUUAGCCAAACAACUUGGAAUCCCAUCUGGCGAUUCCUUUUAUACCAAAGCUGAAAUUUGAGGUCCCUUCUGGCGACCUCCAUUGAUGAAUAUCGAAAACGAGACCCCUUCUGGCGAUCUCAAACAACUUGGAAUCCCAUCUGGUGAUUCCUUUUAUUCAAAGCUGAAAUGUGAGGUCCCUUCUGGCGACCUCCAUCGAAAUACAAGAUCCCUUCUGGCGAUCUCAACAACUUGGAAUCACAUCUGGUGAUUCCUUUUAUACAAAAGCUGAAAUUUGAGGUCCCUUCUAGCGACCUCCAUCGAAAUACGAGAUCCCUUCUGUUGAUCUCAACAACUUGGAAUCCCAUUUGGCGAUUCCUUUUUACCGAAUGCUAUCGAUGUCGUUCUUCCUGCUGGCAGGGUUUGAAAACCAUUAUCUUCUCUUCUUGUUGUUCUAAGAAUCAACUCAAUGAUUCUUUCUUCGUCCAUAAUCUUGUUGGAAUGCGCUAAGAUCUCCUCCUGUAACGAUUCAAAAAAACAUAUAUGCAAUGAUUUAUGAUUAGAUGCAAUGCAUGCAUUUAUACCUGGUUUUGAAACAUAGGUCCCGGCCUCUUCUUCUAGUUCAUGAGACUCCCUCUUAACAUGAACUUGCUUUUGAAGUCGUAUGCUGGAUUUAUCUCUUGUGUUGCCUAUCAUAUUCUUGGAGAAGAAGUCUUUGACUUUCUUCAAGUAGUCCUUUCCUCAAAAUGUAUGACUUGUAUUUGCCUCUUUGUCAUGCUUUUAUCAAAUGCUUUAGCUUGGUUUUCAAAUCUAGGCUUUCGUAAAACUUUUCAUAAAACAUCUCGUCUUGCCCCCAGUGUAGGGGUGCGAUCCUAGUCUGGGCUUUUAUAUAGAGAAGAAAUUCAUUUCAACUCAAAACAAAACCACCAACAAAAAAUUCUUUAGAGAGUGAAAGGACAAUAAUAAUAAUUUUUUUUUUCAAAAAUGCACAUUGUUAGGAUUGAUAAACUCUAUUUUUAUCUUGAAAGAAAAUUUACAGGUGAUGUAUCAAUUCAUUAUAUUAUCCAGAGGUGAGGUUGUAUUUCAAGGGUAGCUUUUCUUAAAUUUCAUAUUAAACCCUUUUAUGAUACUUUAUUUGUAACCACUCAAACUUGUUAAAAAAAAUGCAUAAUCUCAUCAUUUAUUUAAAGAAAAGGUAGGCUUAAAGACAAACACAAAAUCUGGCUGACAUCAUGAGCCCUCAUUGCCCACUAGAGAAAAAUAAAAGCAAUGACAAAAGCAAAUGACAAAAACAUGCUAAGGCAAAUAAAGUUGUUUUACAUUUUGAAAACUACGAGAAGUUCUUGGGUCAACCCGUUCUGAAACUUCUUCUAGUGUGUGGAAAGCCAACCGAGGCAAUGCUUCAUCUUCCUUCCCCACUUGCGUUUCCUUGACUUCUUCUUCAAUCUCGCCUUCUUUAUUAUUGACGAUUCUUGACCAAGGUUUUCCAACCCUUUAUCCCCUAUCACUUUUGUCAUGUGGCGAUGGAUUUGAACUGAUAUUGGGUGUGUCUUCAAAUGACACCCAUCCUAUCUUGAUGAGCUUCAACAACUUGUUCUUGAAACCAUAGCACGUUUCAAGACAAUGCCCGGGAAUACCAGCAUGGUACUCGCAAGUCAACUCGGGCUUAUACCAGAUGGGGAAUGGUGGCUGUAGUGGUAAUGUAGGGAUAGGAGCUAUUUGUCCAAUGCUUAGUAGUUUGGCAUAUAUGUCCUUUAGAGGCAUGGGUAAUGGCGGUAGUUGUUCUGAAAUGUAUCUUGUGUUUGGUCGUUGGUGGUUGUUUUGGGUGUUUGACUGGCCAUUUGCUCGAUUAGGGGAAAAAGGUUUGUUAAAGUUUAUGUGGGCCACAUGAGAGGUAGGUAUUUGUGGGUUAUAUGAAUCUGUUAUCUUGUCAUUGGACCCACCUUCGAAGUUGUUAACGGGACCUUUCAUUUUUCUUCCGAAAAUACCCUUUGUCUCCAAUGGCUCAAUUAUGCGUCCAACUUUAAUCCCUUGCUCUAUUCUUUCCGCUAUGCGUACAGCAUCAUAGAAAUGUUGAGAUGAGCUACCCAUUAAAUGCUCAUAGUAGGGUGCCUUGAAUGUAUUGGCGAACAAAGUCACCAUCUCCGUUUCUAUCAAAGGGGGUUGCACAUGCAUGGCCUCGUCCCUCCAUCUUUGCGCAUAAGCCCUUACUGAUUCUUGGCUUCUCUUUUCCAUUGACAUAAGGCUCGUUCGAUCUGGAGCAAUUUCCAAAUUGAACUUGUAUUGCUUAAGGAAAGCCUCAACUAAAUCCUUCCAUUUCUUGUUUGGCAUUAUCCAGCCUCAUGUACCAACUUACGCCGACCCCGAUAGACUGUCUUGGAAAAAGUAGAUCAGUAACUUAUCGUCAUGAAUCACCUCAGCCAUCUUAUUGCAAUAAGAUCGAAGGUGAGUGUUUGGGCAUUCCAACCCAGUGUACUUUAUAAACUCUGGUAUCCUAAAUUUUUUGGUAUCGUGAUGUUUGGUACCAAGCAUAUUUCAGAUGCUCGCAUGGGGUCAAACCAGUCAUUUCCCUCGACUGCUCUUAACCUUUCUUCCAAGGCUGAUAUCUUGUCAUCGUUCAUAAAUCCGGUGGACCUAUUAUCGGGAGGCCCUUCCACAGUGAUGUGAGCUUGAGGGGGUUGAAUGGGAAUGGUAGGUGCAAAGUGCUGCCCCGUCACUGAAUCUGCCCCCAAGUUCUGAGAUGCCCCCGGAACAUGAACUGAUGGUGCUCCUAUAUGUGGUUGGGUAGAUGUUCCCUCCCCAUUCUUGGCUCUUAAAAGUUGCUCAAGCAGACUGGUCAGUCGAGAAACUUCAUUUUUCACGGAUUCCAACUCGGUCUGGUAGUGCGACUCUAACUGAGCUCUUUCUUCGUUUUCCAUUCUUGAUCUGGACCGGGUUUGGUGGACUCUGGAUGUAGGACCUAUGUUUCACGAUCUGUAAUGCAUAUGAUAACAAAAUGCGUGAUGAAAAUGUGAUGCACAAGUGAUGUGCGAUGAGUAUAACAUUAUUAAUCUUGAUGCAAAUAACCUAAGGACAAGCUCUAUUUAUUAAGUGAUAGUGGGUAAGUUUUCUAUCUGGUCUUGAAGGGUCUCAUAUCUGCCCAGUGACGUUCUUCGUAAAGACAGUAUGGGGGCGUUGCAAGGAACAGUUAAGACACGUAUGUCCACCAUUACCAAGCAGGCACUCAGAUAUGAGUUGGGUGUUUCACGCAUUUAAACCCUGACCAAUAGUCUUAGGGUAAAUCGCUAAUUCCCCACUUAACUUAAGGCUUGUGUGUGCUUUUCAAAAUAAAAGCAAGUGAUGCAUGAGACAAUUUUAUACAAUGCAUAAAUAAUACGCGUAAACUAAAAAACAAAUAUGCAAAUAAACGAAAAGGCAUAUUAACAAUAAACACAUGAAAACACAAACAAAUCAGACAAAAACAAAGCUUAGUCUACAAGGUCCCUAGUGGAGUCGCCAUUCUGUCGCACCCCAAAAAAUAAAAAAUCAAAUUCAUCAAUUGCGGGUUCGACUGGCGAUUUUUUUUUAUUUUUGGUUCUUUGGAGUCGCCACCUAGUAUUUUGGUCACUAGGAACCUAACUGGUCUUAGAGAUUGGGUACGGAGACUGGUUGCGUAAAGGGAAGGUAUUAGCACCCCAAAUACGCCCUACCUAAGGUAAGCUGCAUUGUUUUAUUGUCUGAUAAAAAACUAAAGUGUUGUUGUGUUUUCCUAGUUGUUGAUCUGUCUAUAGUUCAAGAAAAAUCCUCCUCAGUAAGAAGGUCUUUUAUCUUAUCGGGUAAAAAUCCUAACGUUCUAAGUCCAUACCAAAUUUUAUUAAUAAUACUUAGGAAUACGUUUUACGUAUAAAUUCGUAAUCCCAAAUACUAAAAUAAAACAAAAAGAUUUUUUAGAAUUUUUGAAAUAUUGGCCUAGUUCUCAUGGCUUGAAUAAAUUGGUUAUUAAAGCCAAAAUGCAUGUUAAUACAUAUAUUGUUUUUGAAAAUUUUCUUUGUUGUAUGAAAAUAUGAUGUUAUAAUAUUUAUGUAUAUAUAUUGGAGAGACUAGGCCGUAUUUUUAAAACAAAAAAACAAUUUUUGGAAAAUAUUAUUUUUUUUUAUGCUUUGACGAAAAUCGGGUAUUUUAAUACUGAGCUUGUAUCCUUACGGUAUAAAAAUACAACCCAAUAUUAAUCCGCUUUGAUAAAAAUCAACAAUAUUUUUAAGGAAUUUUUAGAAAUUUUUUUGAAAGCGAAAACAUUUUUUAUUCUGAAAAUCUUUGAUAUUUUGACGAAAACCGGGUAUUUUUAACACUGGUUUUGUAUCUUUACAGUAUAAAAAUACAAAACCAAAUGUGUAAAGCAACAAAAUAUUUAUAUGAAAAGAAAAUAACAACCAAAAAUUUUUUUUUUAGCUUUUUUUUUAAGGAAAAAAAAUGUAUAUAUGUAGAUACACAUAUAAUAAUAAUAAUAUAAUAUAAUUAUAAUAUAUUUAUAUAUUAAAAAGGGGCUGGCCGGCCCAAACCAAACUGGGCCGGACCCAGCCCUAACAGUCGUUGGGCCGACCUCGGCCCAGAAACUAAUUAACCUCGGUCUAGGCCGGACCCGGCCCAGACCGCCGGACUGGGCCAGAUCCCUCUGGCCCGUCCACAUAACUCUGGGCCAGACACAAUCUGGCCCAGAGAAAGAAAAAAAAAGAAAACACGGGGGGGGGGGGGGGAAUUAAUUUCCCCCCCCCCCCGCCUCCUGCAUGCAGAACAAUUCUGCAUGCAGGAGGCAAAACAUAUACAUAUUAACAAAAAAAAUGUAGGGGGAGGAGAGGAGGCGUACCUGGUGCUGGCGGAGCUGCGAUGGUGGUGGCAGUGUCCUCGCUUCACGGACGGCGGCUUCUCUCUCCUCUGUUACAGGGUUUCUCUCUUCCUCUCUCUCUUCGUUUUUUUUUUUUGUUUCGGGGUUCCUCUCUUCUCUCUUUUUUUCGUGUUAUUUUUUCUCUUCCCUCUAUCUCGCUGGUUCUAUCUCUCUCUUCGGCCUCGUCUCCCUCUUCGGUCUCCUCUCUCUCCUCUGGCCUCUCUCUAUUUAUAAGCAAAAAGGAAACGGCGUGCCUUCGUUAGUGCGCCUUCAAUCACGCAACGGCUGGUCGGCCAUUCUUGCUUUCGGUGGUGGUGGUGGGGACGAGGAGAGAGGCGGGAAGUUUUGAAAUUUUUCCUUUUUUUUUUUCUUUCGUUUCUGUUCUGUUAAACGGGGGAGGAGGAAGAUGAACAGUGUCGUUCAAAACGACACCGUUCUGAUCUUCCUCUUUUUUUUCUUUUUUUUUUUAAUAUAUAUAUGAAACGGCGUCGUUUUUGGGUAAAACGCGUCGUUUCAUUUAAACGGCUAAACUUCAAAUCAGUCCUCCAAAUUCGGUCCCCGUCCCUCUUGUUGGCCGCUCUUUUUCACUUUGGUCCUUGGCCUCUGAUUUAUGCAAUUGAGCCCCUAAUUGAUCAAUAAACUUCCAAUUUCUUCAAUUAAGCCCCUGAAACAAAAAUUAGCAGCCCCUCCAUUUACGCGCCUCUUCCAAUUUGGUCCCUGGUUUCGGAUUUUCUUAAUUAAAUCCCUAAUUGGCCCUUAAACUUCAAUAUUUAUGCAAUUGAGCCCCUGAUUUGACCCAAUAAAUUCCUAAAAAAUAUAUUUUGGCCCCAGAACUUAAAUUUCUCCAAAUUAAAGCCCAAAUUGACUUAAAAAUCAAUUUUUCUUGGAAUCAAAUCUUCUAUAAAUUCAAAUAAAAAUCCAAUUAAGUCCAUAAAAAUCCAAUUAAGCCCAUAAAAAUCCAAUUAAGCCCAUAAAAAUCCAAAUUUGGGCUUUUCUCCCUAAAAUUCAAAAUUUUCCUUCUCAAUAGGGCUUUCAUCCUUCAAGAAUAUACUGUAAAAAAUUCAAUCCUUGUAUUUUUAAAUUCCUUGACCAAUUUUCUGACUGCUUUCCGGGCGCUUCUGCUUCCGGUUAUUUUCCUAACCUCUUUUGGCUAUUUAUUUUAUUUUUCAGGGGGACCCAAAAAUGGGUUACAACAACGUUAAUGGAAAGGAACUAGGGAUCGAGGCUUUAAACACAAAUUCUAAUUGAGGGUUUAGAUUGAAGGGUUGGUGUCUUAAUCUAUAGAGUUGUUGUAAGGCAUUAGUGACUUGGAUAGGGAGAAAAGAAUCGUAAUUGAUGGAACCGAAAGGGAACCUAGUUCCUUUCAUAAGAACUAGUGUUUAUUCAGUGUUAGAAAUGAAAUUGUUAGAACAGAAGAUGUGAUGUGAUACUGUGGGGUAUUAGUAAUAGGAAGUACUCAUGUUAAAUAUGGCAGAUAGUAAAACAAGUUAUGAUGUUGAUUAGAUGAAUGCGUAGAACUCAAGAUUUAUAUUCGAGAUGAUGUCGAACAGAGUAAUUGAGAUGGUCAUUGGCAUAAUGAUGAUUAAACUAAAGUGAUUAGUCGAUUUCACUACUAGGAUACAUGAAUACCAUAGUUACGCUCAAGCAAACUUAGUCAUUUGAAUAUUUAUUUUGUUUUUCUUCCAAUUUUGGCUAGUGAUUACUAUAAUAUAUACAUUGCAAUUUUGUAAUUACAAGGUAUCUACUAAACUAUAUUAAUUAACUUCUCACUAAUAUUUAAUUAACAUAUAUUAUUUGAUUUGUAAUUAAUUGAAUUAAACAUAUAAAUUAUUUUUUUCAUUCAUCAUGACAAUGCCAGAAUCUUCUUCUCUUGUGUUCUAAAUUAAAUUGAAAUCCAAGCCGCAAUGUAAUUAGGAUACAUUGACUAGUAUUAUAACAUUAUUUAAAGAACAAUAGCGGUAACAAUCAAUAUAUUAUUAUUAGAUAAUCAAGUUAUUAUAUUAUUUUUAAUUAUUUUUUAUAUUUAGGAAACUACUAAAUUGCCCCUAAACUGAUUUAAUAAUAAUAAUAAAAACCAUUAUGAAAAGAUAAAAAAACCCUUUUAUAUGCAUCAUCUCUCUUCGAGGGGAUUUGAAAGGCAUGUGAAGAAGAUUGAAAAAUCACCUUCAUUUCACUACAAUAUUGGUAUUUUGGUAGGUUUUAGCAGACAGAUCUUCUGAUAUGCAGGAGGUGCAUGUCUUCUUCACUGCUUUAACAGCAAUGAAAAGAUAAAAUAGCUGAUAUUGUUCAACCAGAUAAUUAAAUCACUUAAAAUAAAGAAGGAUGGAUAAAAACUAGGGUUUUUAAGUUAGAAGACUACGAUCUUAAAUUAUAGAGAAAUAAAAACUCUCUAAUUUAUUCUUAAUAGUUUUUUAAUUCAAUAAUUUGUUAAAAGAAUAAUAUACCAACUAUUUAUAUACAUAUAAAAACUGAUUUAAUAUAAAAAAAUCUAAAACUAUGAAGAAAAAAACAAUAAGAAUUUAAAAUUAACUUAGAAAAUAAUUUAAAAAAAAAACAGUAACUUCAAGGUUUAAUUUGAUAGUCUUCCAACCUUGACUAGUUAUAGCCAAUAAACCACUCAUUGAACUGAGCUUAACACCUCUACUUUUCCUUAAUUAGAUCAUCAAAGAAAACUAAGUUCAAUAUUAUGAAGAAAUUGGGAGAAGAUUGGAGCAGCCUAACUUUGAAAACAGAAAAUUAAUUGUAGCAUGAUUGCUCCCGUGUUUUAGGUCAAUGGAAGGUUCAACCACUUCGUUUAUUUCUAGAAACAGACUCCAUACAUACAUAUAGCUAUCGGCAUCACCAACACUUCACCUUCCAUGUCCUUUCCUCUUGAUGAGGCAUCACUGUUCAGCCAUCUCCAUCCUCCUCACAAAAGCUUUCCACCUGUAAAUCUAUUACAAAUCCUGCACAAACUGCA
RNAcentral lists this long non-coding RNA (61052 nucleotides) under Populus tremula. RNAcentral's name for it is "long non-coding RNA (PTRE_LNC001612)". The stretch from base 35784 to 35874 matches the Rfam family "MIR478 microRNA precursor family". Lineage: Eukaryota; Viridiplantae; Streptophyta; Magnoliopsida; Malpighiales; Salicaceae. The record is from RNAcentral.